Molecule: long non-coding RNA, 52874 nt
Filed under: Triticum aestivum (bread wheat)
Lineage: Eukaryota; Viridiplantae; Streptophyta; Magnoliopsida; Poales; Poaceae
Description: long non-coding RNA (TAES_LNC015242)
Rfam family: MIR1120/MIR1122 microRNA precursor family (bases 45478-45613)
Source: RNAcentral
CAUAAAAUCCUACAUAAAACUUGUAGAUCACUGAAUAUGAUAUGUUUGAUUCCUUGCAAUAGUUUUGCGAUAUAAAGAUGGUGAUAUUAGAGUCAUGAUAGUGGGUAGUUGUGGAUUGUAGAAAUACUUGUGUUGAGGUUUGUGAUUCCCGUAGCAUAAACGUAUGGUGAACCGUUAUGUAACGAAGUCGGAGCAUGAUUUAUUUAUUGAUUGUCUUCCUUAUGAGUGGCAGUCGGGGACGAGCGAUGGUCUUUUCCUACCAAUCUAUCCCCCUAGGAGCAUGCAUGUAGUACUUUGUUUCGAUGACUAAUAGAUUUUUGAAAUAAGUAUGUGAGUUCUUUGUGACUAAUGUUGAGUCCAUGGAUUAUACGCACUCUCACCCUUCCACCAUUGCUAGCCUCUCUAGUACUACACAACUUUCGCCGGUACCAUAAACCCACCAUAUACCUUCCUCAAAACAGCCACCAUACCUACCUAUCAUGGCAUUUCCAUAGCCAUUCCGAGAUAUAUUGCCAUGCAACUUUCAUCAUCAUCAUAUACAUGACUGGAGCAUUCAUUGUCAUAUUGCUUUGCAUGAUCGUAAGAUAGCUAGCAUGAUGUUUUCAUGGCUUGUCCGUUUUUUGAUGUCAUUGCUACGCUAGAUCAUUGCACAUCCCGGUACACCGCCAGAGGCAUUCAUAUAGAGUCAUAUCUUUGUUCUAGUAUCGAGUUGUAAUAUUGAGUUGUAAGUAUAUAAAAGUGUGAUGAUCAUCAUUAUUAGAGCAUUGCCCCAGUGAGGAAAGAAUGAUGGAGACUAUGAUUCCCUCAUAAGUCGGGAUGAGACUCUGGAAUUUACAAAAAAAUAAAAGAGGCCAAAGAAGCCCAAAAAAAAGAGGCCAAAGAAGCCCACCAAAAAAGAGAGAAAAAGAGAGAAGGGGCAGUGCUACUAUACCUUUUCCACACUUGUGCUUCAAAGUAGCACCAUGUUCUUCGUAUAGAGAGUCUCUUGAGUUAUCACUUUCAUAUACUAGUGGGAAUUUUCAUUAUAGAACUUGGCUUGUAUAUUCCGAUGAUGGGCUUUCUCAAAUGCCCUAGGUCUUCAUGAGCAAGCAACUUGGAUGCACACCCGCUUAGUUUCAGUUUGAUCUUUCAUACACUUAUAGCUCUAGUGCAUCCGUUGCAUGGCAAUCCCUACUCACUCACAUUGAUAUCUAUUGAUGGGCAUCUCCAUAGCCCGUUGAUACGCCUAUUUGAUGUGAGACUACCUUCUCCUUUUUGUCUUCUCCACCAUCAUAUUCUAUUCCACCUAUAGUGCUAUGUCCAUGGCUCACGCUCAUGUAUUGCGUGAAAGUUGAAAAGGUUUGAGAAUGUCAAAAGUAUGAAACAAUUGAUUGGCUUGUCAUCGGGGUUGUGCAUGAUGUGAGUAUUUUGUGUGGUGAAGAUGGAGCAUAGCCAAACUAUAUGAAUUUGUAGGGAUAACUUUCUUUGGCCUUGUUAUUUUGAAAAGACAUGAUUGCUUUAUUAGUGGGCUUGAAGUAUUAUUGUUUUUAUGUCAAAUGAUAGACUAUUGCUUUGAAUCACUCGUGUCUUAAUAUUCACGCCAUGAUUAGACAUAUGAUCAAGAUUAUGCUAGGUACCAUUCCACAUCAAAAAUUAUCUUUUUUUAUCAUUUACCUACUCGAGGACGAGCAGGAAUUAAGCUUGGGGAUGCUGAUACGUCUCUGUCGUAUCUAUAAUUUUUGAUUGUUCCAUGCCAAUAUUAUUCAACUUUCAUAUACUUUUUGGCAACUUUUUAUAUUAUUUUGGGACUAACAUAUUGAUCCAGCGCCCAGUGCCAGUUCCUGUAUGUUGCAUGUUUUUGGUUUCGCAGAAUACCCAUAUCAAACGGAGUCCAAACGGGAUAAAAAACAGAAGGAGCUUAUUUUUGGAAAAUAUGGAAAAUUCAGAAGGAAAAUCAAUGCGAACCAGUGCCCGAGGUGGUCACGAGGCAGGGGGGCGCCCCCCCUUAGGGCGUGCCCCUACCCUCGUGAGCCCACCGUAAGGCAGUUGACGCUCUUCUUUUGCCGCAAGAAAGCUAAUUUUCGGAGAAAAAAAUCACGGCAAAGGUUUCAGGUCAAUCGGAGUUACGGAUCUCGAUAUAUACAUGAAAUGGUGAAACAGAGCCAGGGAGGAUGCAGAACCAGAGAGAAACGGAGAGAUAGAUCCAAUCUCGGAGGGGCUGUCGCCCCUCCCACUCCAUGGGAGCCAAGGACCAGAGGGGAAACCCUUCUCCCAUAUAGGGAGGAGGUCAUGGAAGAAGAAGAAGGGGGUCCCUCUCCCCCUUGCUUCCGGUGGCGCCGGAGCGCUGCCGGGGCCAUCAUCAUCACCGCCAUCUUCACCAACAACUUCACCGCCAUCAUCACCAACUCUUCCCCCUCUCUAUGCAGCGGUGUAACCUCUCUCUUACCCGCUGUAAUCUCUACUUAAACAUGGUGCUCAACGCUAUAUAUUAUUUCCCAAUGAUGUAUGGCUAUCCUAUGAUGUUUGAGUAGAUCUGUUUUGUCGUAAUGGCUAUUUGAUGAUCGUGAUUGGUUUGAGUUGUAUGUUUUAUUAUUGGUGCUGUCCUAUGGUGCUCUCCGUGUCACGCAAGCGUGAGGGAUUCUCGUUGUAGGGUUUGCAAUAUGCUUAUGAUUUGCUUAUGGUGGGUGGCGUGAGUGACAGAAGCACAGACUAGAGUAAGUAGGUUGUUUGCGUAUGGGAUAAAGGGGACUUGAUACUUUAAUGCUAUGGUUGGGUUUUACCUUAAUGAAUCUUUAGUAGUUGUGGAUGCUUGCUAGAGUUCCAAUCAUAAGUGCAUAUGAUCCAAGUAGAGAAAGUAUGUUAGCUUAUGCCUCUCCCUCAAAUAAAAUUGCAAUAAUGAUUACCGGUCUAGUUAUGGAUUGCCUAGGGACAAAUAACUUUCUUGUUGACAAAAGCUCUCUACUAAAACUAAUUUAUUUGUGUCUUUAUCUAAACAGCCCCUAGCUUUUAUUUUUGUGUUCUUUACUUUCUUGCAAGCUUACCCGAAAACACCUACAAAGUACUUCUAGUUUCAUACUUGUUCUAGGUAAAGCGAACGUCAAGCGUGCGUAGAGUUGUAUCGGUGGUCGAUAGAACUUGAGGGAAUAUUUGUUCUACCUUUAGCUCCUCGUUGGGUUCGACACUCUUACUUAUCGAAAGGGGCUACAAUUGACCCCCUAUACUUGUGGGUUAUCAAUUAAUGAUGUUCUUAUUGUUGCAAAUAGGAAUUAUGUACCCAUAGAUUUUAUUGUUCUUGACAUAGAUUGCAAUCCUUCAUUUUCUAUUAUUCUUGGUAGACCUUUCCUUAGAACAAUUGGUGCAAUUAUUGAUAUGAAGGAAGGAAAUAUUAGAUUCCAAUUUCCGUUAAGGAAAGGCAUGGAACACUUUCCUAGAAAGAAAAUUAAAUUACCUUAUGAAUCUAUUAUGAGAGCCACUUAUGGAUUGCCUACCAAAGAUGGCAAUACCUAGAUCUAUCCUUGCUUUUUAUGCCUAGCUAGGGGCGUUAAACGAUAGCGCUUGUUGGGAGGCAACCCAAUUUUAUUUUUAUUCCUUGCUUUUUGCUCCUGUUUAGUAUAAAUAAUUUAUCUAGCCUCCGUUUAGGUUGUGUUUUUGGGUUUAAUUAGUGUUUGUGCCAAGUAGAACCGUUGGGAAGACAUGGGGAAAGUCCUGAUAUCUUGCUGUAAAAAAUAGAAACUUUAGCGCUCACGAGAACUGCUGCCGUUUUUAUUUGUAAGGUGCUAUUUAGAUAAUUAUUUUUUAAGAUGAUUAAUAGAUAAAUUCCUCACGUCCAGAAAUUUAUUUUAGUAUUUUUGGGGUUCCAGAUCUUUCGCUAGCUACAGAUUACUACAGACUGUUCUGUUUUUGACAGAUUCUGUUUUUCGUAUGUUGUUUGCUUAUUUUGAUGAAUCUAUGACUAGUAAAAUAGCUUAUAAACCAUAUAGAAGUUGUAAUAAAGUAGGUUUAACACCAAUGUAAAUAAAGAAUGAGUUCAUUACAGUAAAUUGAAGUGGUCUUUUUGUUUCUUUCGCUAACGGAGCUCACGAGAUUUUCUACUUUAAGUUUUGUGUUGUGAAGUUUUCAAGUUUUGGGUAAAGAUUUGAUGGAUUAUGGAACAAGGAGUGGUAAGAGCCUAAGAUUGGGGAUGCCCAUGGCACCCCCAAGAUAAUCUAAGGACACCUAAAAGCCAAAGCUUGGGGAUGCCCCGGAAGGCAUCCCCUCUUUUCGUCUACUUCUAUCGGUAACUUUACUUGGAGCUAUAUUUUUAUUCACCACAUGAUAUGUGUUUUGCUUGGAGCGUCUUGUAUGAUUUGAGUCUUUGCUUUUUAGUUUACGACAAUCAUCCUUGUUGAACACACCUUUUGAGAGAUCCAUACAUGAUUUGGAAUUUGUAAGAAUACUCUAUGUACUUCGCUUAUAUCAUUUGAGUUAUAUAGUUUUGCUCUAGUACUUCACUUAUAUAUUUUAGAGCACGGUGGUGGAUUUAUUUUAUAGAAACUAUUGAUCUCUCAUGCUUCACUUAGAUUAUUUUGAGAGUCUUAAAUAGCAUGGUAAUUUGCUUAAAUAAUCCUAAUAUCCUAGGUGUUCAAGAUUAGUAAAAAAAUUCUUAUGAGUGUUUUGAAUACUAAGAGAAGUUUGAUGCUUGAUGAUUGUUUUGAGAUAUGGAGGUAAUAAUAUCAAAGUCGUGCUAGUUGAGUAGUUGUGAAUUUGAGAAAUGCUUGUGUUGAAGUUUGCAAGUCCUGUAGCAUACACGUAUGGUAAACGUUAUGUAACAAAUAUGAAACAUGAGGUGUUAUUUGAUUGUCUUCCUUAUGAGUGGCGGUCGGGGACGAGCGAUGGUCUUUUCCUACCAAUCUAUCCCCCUAGGAGCAUGCGCGUAGUGCUUGGUUUUUGAUGACUUGUAGACUUUUGCAAUAAGUAUGUGAGUUCUUUAUGACUAAUGUUGAGUCCAUGGAUUAUACGCACUCUCACCCUUCCAUCAUUGCUAGCCUCUUAGGUACCGUGCAUUGCCCUUUCUCACAUAGAGAGUUGGUGCAAACUUCACUGGUGCAUCCAAACCCCGUGAUAUGAUACGCUCUUUCACACAUAAACCUCCUUAUAUCUUCCUCAAAACAGCCACCAUACCUACCUAUUAUGGCAUUUCCAUAGCCAUUCCGAGAUAUAUUGCCAUGCAACUUUCCACCAUUCCAUUUAUCAUGACACAUUCAUCAUUGCCAUAUUGCUUAGCAUGAUCAUGUAGUUGACAUAGUAUUUGUGGCAAAGCCACUGUUCAUAAUUCUUUCAUACAUGUCACUCUUGGUUCAUUGCAUAUCCCGGUAGACCGCCGGAGGCAUUCAUAUAGAGUCAUAUCUUGUUCUAAGUAUCGAGUUGUAAUUUUUGAGUUGUAAGUAAAUAGAAGUGUGAUGACCAUCAUUCAUAGAGCAUUGUCCUAAAAAAGGGAGGCUAAAAAAGAAAGAAAGGCCAAAUAAAAAAAUAAAAAAAUAAAGAAGGGACAAUGCUACUAUCCUUUUUCCACACUUGUGCUUCAUAGUAGCACCAUAAUCUUCAUGAUAGAGAGUCUUUUAUUUUGUCACUUUCAUAUACUAGUGGGAAUUUUUCAUUAUAGAACUUGGCUUGUAUAUUCCAACAAUGGGCUUCCUCAAGUGCCCUAGGUCUUCGUGAGCAAGCAAGUUGGAUGCACACCCACUUAGUUUCUUUUGUUGAGCUUUCAUACAUUUAUAGCUCUAGUGCAUCCGUUGCAUGGCAAUCCCUACUCCUUGUAUCGACAUCAAUCGGUGGGCAUCUCCAUAGCCCAUUGAUUAGCCUCGUUGAUGUGAGACUUUCUCCUUUUUAUCUUCUCCACAUAACCCCCCUCAUUAUAUUCUAUUCCACCCAUAGUGCUAUGUCCAUGGCUCGCGCUCAUACAUUGCGUGAAAGUUUAUAGGUUUGAGAUUACUAAAGUAUGAAACAAUUGCUUGGCUUGUCAUCGGGGUUGUGCAUGAUGAGAGCAUUCUUGUGUGACGAAAAUGGAGCAUGACUAAACUAUAUGAUUUUGUAGGGAUGAACUUUCUUUGGCCAUGUUAUUUUGAGAGGACAUAAUUGCUUAGUUAGUAUGCUUGAAGUAUUAUUCUUUUUAUGUCAAUAUGAACUUUUAUCUUGAAUCUUUCGGAUCUGAAUAUUCGUACCACAAUUAAGAAGAAUUACAUUAAAAUUAUGCCAAGUAGCACUCCGCAUCAAAAAUUCUGUUUUUAUCAUUUACCUACUCGAGGACGAGCAUGAAUUAAGCUUGGGGAUGCUUGAUACGUCUCCAACAUAUCUAUAAUUUUUUAUUGCUCCAUGCUAUAUUAUCUACUGUUUUGGACAUUAUUGGGCUUUAUUAUCCACUUUUAUAUUAUUUUGGGGACUAACCUAUUAGCCGGAGGCCCAGCCCAGAAUUGCUGUUUUUUUGCCUAUUUUAGGGUUUCGAAGAAAAUGAAUAUCAAACGGAGUCCAAACGGAAUGAAACCUUAGGGAACGUGAUUUUCUCACCGAAAAUGAUCCAGGAGACUUCGACCCUACGUCAAGAAACAAAGGAGGAGGCCACGAGGUAGGGGGGGCGCGCCUACCCCCCAGGCGCGCCCUCCACCCUUGUGGGCCCCCUGUUACUCCACCGAUGUACUCCUUCCUCCUAUAUAUACCUACGUACCCCCAAACGAUCAGAUACGGAGCCAAAACCCUAAUUCCACCGACGCAACUUUCUGUAUCCAUGAGAUCCCAUCUUGGGGCCUGUUCUGGAGCUCCGCCGGAGGGGGUAUCUAUCACGGAGGGCUUCUACAUCAUCACCAUAGCCCCUCCGAUGAAGUGUGAGUAGUUCACCUUAGACCUACGGGUCCAUAGUUAUUAGCUAGAUGGCUUCUUCUCUCUUUUUGGAUCUCAAUACAAUGUUCUCCCCCUCUCUUGUGGAGAACUAUUCGAUGUAAUCUUCUUUUUGCGGUGUGUUUGUUGAGACCGAUGAAUUGUGGGUUUAUGAUCAAGUCUAUCUAUGAACAAUAUUUGAAUCUUCUCUAAAUUCUUUUAUGUAUGAUUGGUUAUCUUUGCAAGUCUCUUCGAAUUAUCAGUUUGGUUUUGCCUACUAGAUUGAUCUUUCUUGCAAUGGAGAAGUGCUUAGCUUUGGGUUCAGUCUUGCGGUGUCCUUUCCGAGUGACAGUAGGGGCAGGAAGGCACGUAUUGUAUUAUUGCCAUCGAGGAUAACAAGAUGGGGUUUUCAUCAUAUUGCAUGAGUUUAUCCCUCUACAUCAUGUCAUCUUGCUUAAGGCGUUACUCUGUUUUCACGAACUUAAUACUCUAGAUGCAUGCUGGAUAGCGGUCGAUGAGUGGAGUAAUAGUAGUAGAUGUAGGCAGGAGUCGGUCUACUUCUCUCAGACGCGAUGCCUGUAUACAUGAUCAUACCUAGAUAUUCUCAUAACUAUGCUCAAUUCUGUCAAUUGCUCAACAGUAAUUCGUUCACCCACCGUAAAAUACUUAUGCUCUUGAGAGAAGCCACUAGUGAAACCUAUGCCCCCCGGGUCUAUCUUCAUGAUAUUAAUCUUCCAAUACUUAGUUAUUUCCUUUGCUUUUUUACUUUGCUUUCAUUUUACUUUGCAUCUUUAUCAUAAAAAUACCAAAAAUAUUAUCUUAUCACAUCUAUCAGAUCUCACUCUCGUAAGUGGCCGUGUAGGGAUUGACAACCCCUUAUCGCGUUGGUUGCGAGGAUUUAUUUUUUUUGUGCAGGUGCGAGGGACUUGGGCGUAGCCUCCUACUGGAUUGAUACCUUGGUUCUCAAAAACUGAGGGAAAUACUUACACUACUUUACUGCAUCAUCCCUUCCUCUUCGGGGAAAACCAACGCAGUGCUCAAGAGGUAGCAGCCAACAAGGGUACCUCCCUACCUCCCACUUGGCUGCAAAUUUGACAUGCACUCUCUCCCUAACAAUGAUCAUAAUGCAGUAUAUAUCUUUCUCUAUACUCCUCUCUACUUACUCAUGGCCUGCCAUCUGUAUUCAUUCUCUUUUCAGCUACCUUUUUCACGCUUCCUUUGCCAUCUCAACUGUGCUUACAAGGCUUCCUUACCCCCCAUCUCCCCACCACUUAAUAUUUUGCUUUUGCAAGCUCACUGGCCUAACCAUUCGUGCUCGAUGCCUCGAUGGGAGUGGGAGGUAUUGAGACAUGAAAACAAAGACACAUCAUAGUGUGCUGAUACCCUUCAAUUAGCAUUACUAUCCUUUUCUUGGAUUUCUCAUAAGAAACUGGUUAGAUGGAAUAAGCUCCCAAUUUGGCUCGAACUGAGAAGGAAAAUAUGGCCAACACUUGCAGACUCCUUUUUUUGAGAAAGACAUUGCUUCUGACACUAAAACAACUACAUCUAAAUUGUAGGUGCACAUACGAUUUUUGCUCAUUAACAUGUAUCCUUCGGUGUGACCAUUUGACCGGUAAGACAACAUUUCAGUUAUAGCAGCUUUUGUUAGUGUGUAGAGCAUAUACAACCGGAUCCCUCAUAUCCUCCCUAAACGUCCGGGCAGACAGCCCGGUCAUUGCCUGGACAGGAGAGAGAAACAAAAAGGCACCCAACCAGACCUCUCAUGUUGUCCUCAUAUGGUGGGCUGUCCACAAAUCCCUAAAUCCUGCCAUAUAUGGUGAGGAUAUGGGGAUGUUCGCCCGUGUCCGGUCAUUCCUCCACAUAGGAUGUGGCUCACUCCAGACCACCUUUUCUCUCUCUUUUCAUCCCAUCAAUCAGAUGCAUGUGACCGGACAAUUCGUGGACAAAGUAGGGGACAUGGUUACAUGCAUACACAAAUGGGGGCUUGGAUGGAUAUAUGUAUGGACAUAGGGCGGGUGCGUCCACAGACGUUUGAGAAUCCAAAUUUGCUCAUUAUGAUUGUAGGUGUCCUUAUGUCGUGCAACAAUACACAUUUGAAGACUUGUCGUGUGAGCACAUAUGAACGUGCACACUCAGGCCCGUCAAUGAGGAUGCGUGAGCUAUGCAGUUGCGCAGGGUUCCCCAAUAUUGAGGGAUCAUACCCAAGCGACAACAAGCCAUUGAACAAAUCCAUUCCCCCUCCCCUGUCGCGGCGCUCCCGUGAGCGCCCCGAGGGGAACCCUAAAUCGCUGCCCCCUCCUCCCCAUCCUCUGCCCUCCUCCCUCGCCGCUGCCCAGCAGGGCUGCCGGGCGAAGCCCGGCCGGCUGGGGUGGUGGCGGGGCCUUCUUCUCCCCUCCGCCCGUGGUCCAUGGCCAGCGCAGGACGACUUCGCGUGCGGGGGCGCUGGCCUAUGGCGGGUGCGAGCGGCCACUACUAGGAAAAGGCUAAUUAGUGGUGCACCUGUUUUGGCCAUCAAUGGCGCACUACAGGUGCGCCACUAUCAUCACGCCACUAGUAACUAAUACUAAUGGCGCAUCCCUGGUGCGCCAUUAGUAUACCAGACAAUAGUGGCGCACUAGGGAGUGCACCAUUAGUAUGUCAAACGGUGCGCCAUUACUAUGCCUCCCAGGGGGCCAUAUUUACCUUGUGCUCUGGGUUACUAAUGGCGCACUUCUAUGUAGUGCGCCACUAGUGUGUUUAUUGCAGUGUGCCACUAAAGUGUAGUGUGGUGCGCCACUAGUAUGAAUAUUAGCAUUUUUUUCUUUUCUGAUAUUUGCACAUGUUACAAAAUAUAUUACUGCACAGAAUAUAGAGAGCACAACAUAUAAACAUCAGAUUCAUCGAAUACAAUAGAAGAUUAGUCUCCGAAUACAAUUCAUCAUAUUAGUCUUCGAGUUCAAAAGACCGAACAAAGUUAGAACAUUACAAGUCUCGAGACCGCGAAUAGCGAGUUUGUCUUCACAUUACAAGUCGAUAUCGAUCAUCUAAACUACCAUCACAUAGAAGAGAGCUGCGGUCAUCACGAUGAGCAUCAUCGCGAUGAAACUGGUCUUCAUCCAGUUCCUCCUCCGCUCCCUCCUCUCUCCUGCUAGAUAGCGCGCGUAUCUAGUUUCCGCCUCUGCACUAGUGGUGUACCCUUUGUAACUGUUACCGCUGAAACGGUGAACCUGUCUCUGACACUCCUCCCAGUCGUCGUAGACUCCGGGAACCUUACCCUUGUACACGACAUACGACGGCAUCUCUAUGCACUAGCCAAACAAAACGUUAGUAGCAAUUCACAGACAAUACAUAGGCAAUAUAUAAGUAUGCAACAAAAGGAUCGGAAGAGAAAAGCAAGACAUUAAUAGCACGAUUCAUGGUCCUACUAAUAAAUAGCAUCGAUUACAUAUAAGUUGAACGACUGUCCAAACCAAAGAGACAUACAAGUUCAUUAAAGUUUAAUUACAACAUGAGCUAAUCGAUAUUUCAGAACAACACAUAGCAUCACUACUUUCGACUCGACUCAGGGACCGGAGCGUGGAUGAAGCCGCCGUCUAUCGUGAUGGUCAUGAAAUCGCGGGCGUUGUCAGCCUGCAUUUGUAGCGUUGUUUCUAUCUCAUUGUUGGACGGUUGAUAUCUGAGGUAGAACUACCCCGAGGUACAAAGGAAAUCUUGAUGGAUGAUUUCCGCAAACUCCGAUUGGAUGUGAACGAAUUCUUGUCUGAUGUCCGCGUCCUAGAUUGCGGCAAACUUGCGGCCCAAUCUUGGAGAUUAUUUGGUAGCAGAAGGUGAUUAUGGUCCCGUAUAAUCACCCGCAUGUGAUGGAGGCCAUAGUAGGCAUCCUUCUGACCGCCAGGCGGCUGCUUGACGCAGGGGAACAUCGUAUUAUGGGUGAACACAUGCUUGCCGUACCUACGAAUUGGCCCGCUGAAGGUGCCUCCAGAUCUGGCGUAGCCGAGGAGAACAUCAUCAAGAACUUUCUUGAUAUUUGUGUAGUCUUUCUUUGACUGACGGUCUGAGUCGAAAUACAUGGCCAUGGAAUAUUUUGGGCCUAAGAGGAUGAGUGUGCAAUGUGUGUCACUGCACAAAACACGGAAUGUUAGAAAAGAAAGAGCGAUCGAAAUCUAAGAAGUCAUAUGUUACGGGAUGGUGAGGGGAUGACUUACUCGGGAAAGUAAGGCACGAGGAAGUUAUCCUUAUCUGGGUUUGCCAGAAUGACGCCUGCAAGGUAUGAACUCGCGACUUGCUGGUCCCCAGCGCUGCCCAAGAUCUUGGAACGCAUGUAGAAGGGGUCGACUAUCACGAUGUCUGGGGUCUUGUCUCUAAUGAUCCGCAUCUCCAUACUCAGUGAAAAUAACCGAACGAAGGUGUAGUGCAGCGGAUGAAGGUUAAACAUAGCGAAGAUUUCAUCAAACCGCAGGACGAUCAUACCCCCGAUGGCGCUAUCCACAAAGCCCUUCCCUCUGGCACCUUGGCCACGAAAACUGGGUAUGCCACAUCAUUCUCUCGGAGACGCCGCUUCUCCAAAGAAAGAACACUGUCAUGCAGACUCCGCAUAGCACCGGUUGCAGCAUUGAGCAGAUUAGUCGGUAGCAUCGGCCUACCCACCACAUGCACCCUCCUCGAGAUAUCCUUAGGUGAAGGUGGCCCGUCCUGAGCACGGAUCGUACUCGGUGCCGGCUAGCUCGCACCCUUGUUACUCUUUCUUUUCCGUCCCUUCUUCUCCUGCUGUAAUGGCAUCGAGUUCUUCUCACAGACAGCCUUCUUGAGUGUGUUGGGGCUGAUAAUAUUUCGCACCUCGGCUAUCUGAGGCUCGGUGAAGGCGGCAGCUGGAGGCGUCUCCUCAGAACUGAACGCCAAACGAUGCGUGUUGCAACUGGGUUUCUCCGCGGUACCAGCUAGAUCGUCUUUUGCAGGGUUGGGUUCUUGAGAAGGAGGCCCCAAGAAUUCGUCACCGUACCCAUGUUCGUUGAAGUACUUAUCGAUGUUGGUAAAUGUACCAUCGUUGUCGUCAUCAUCGUCCGGGUCCUGUGCCAUAUCCAUGUCCGGCAUGGCCGGUAGCGUUGCAGGGGUCUUGCCAUGGCUUGGCGCCAGCACGACUGGCGGUGUUAUCUAUGGGGUGGUGUCCCCCGCCCCCAAACGAAUCUGGCUCUUCGGCCAAAGCAUGGGCUAGCUUAUGCAAGCGCUGAGGGUCAUCACAUCAUCUUCGUCGGCCCCAUGGGGUCGAUACGGAGGUAACAUGUCGUCGAAGCCCGGUAGCACCCGAACCAGUUGAAACCUAUAAACGGUGGGUGGAAUCUGAAUACCGUGGAACACGCCUCUGCCCUGUUGAACGAUUCUGCCUUUGGCGACAUCGACCAACUCAUCGCUCACGAAGUGCAGGAGAGUGCACGGAAUGUCGGCGGCGCCCUGCGAAAACAUGUAAGGCGUCAGGGAUGCCCAGUCAAAGGCAAGGAGAUGAAGUCAUCGGCCGAGAGGCUUAAUUAGUUACCGUGAAGGCAUCGAGCUCGGCUAAUGUCGAGGCACCGCCAACGGCGGGCGUGCAAGUGACGGAGGGGCUGCUUGCUGCCGAGGUGCCGGCCGGCGUAUUCUUCCCACACCCGGGUGUAUUAAGUUGCAAUGCCGGUGCCGCCACGGGAGACACCAAUGCCGCCUCCGCCGGAGACACCAAUGGUGUCGUCGGCGUGCUGCGCGAGUUGCUGCCCGUGAAGCUGGGAAUCGGGGAUGGCCCCUGUUGGCCGCCCGCAAUCCACGCCUGCAGCCCAGAAACCAAGGUACGCAUAAUGGUGGUGAUCGUCGCUCCCAAUUGGUCUCGCACUUGCUCUUCGACGAUCUCCGGAAUCUGCGCCACUUGUGCCUUGAGUUGUUGAACCUCGCGCUCCUGGCUUUCCGAGCUGGUCUUUCUCUCCUUUCGCCCAGCGGUAUACUACUCCGACCAUUUCGUGGACAAGCCUUUGACGGCCACACAACCAGCUGACGACGGCUUACUGAGCUUAUCCUUGUUUUUCAUUACGUUCAACGCCCUAUUUAAAGGGGUGUCGAAAGGGGAGCUCUGAGAUGACCCCGCACUACUGCUUUCAGUGUCCUGUGGAAGGAACAUGAACCAUUUAGAAAAUUGGCUUCAUUAAUUAUAAUGCAACCAUAUGGAGCUAAUUAUGCGGGGGUGUAUUCCUUACCAAAACAUGCUCAAGCGCCUUGGUCUUCCGAUCCGUGGUAAGCUCCUUGGUUACUGAUGUCUACUACACAACCUUCUUCUUGUAGACAUUGUUGGGCCUCCAAGUGCAGAGGUUUGUAGGACAGUAGCAAAUUUCCCUCAAGUGAAUGACCUAAGGUUUAUCAAUCCGUAGGAGGCGUAGGAUGAAGAUGGUCUCUCUCAAGCAACCCUGCAACCAAAUAACAAAGAGUCUCUUGUGUCCCCAACACACCCAAUACAAUGGUAAAUUGUAUAGGUGCACUAGUUCGGCGAAGAGAUGGUGAUACAAGUGGUAUAUGGAUGGUAGAUAAAGGUUUUUGUAAUCUGAAAAUAUAAAAACAGCAAGGUAACUAAUGAUAAAAGUGAGCACAAAUGGUAUUGCAAUGCGUUGAAACAAGGCCUAGGGUUCAUACUUUCACUAGUGCAAGUUUCCUCAAUAAUAAUAACAUAAUUGGAUCACAUAACUAUCCCUCAACAUGCAACGAAGAGUCACUCCAAAGUCACUAAUAGCGGAGAACGAACGAAGAGAUUAUGGUAGGGUACGAAACCACCUCAAAGUUAUUAUUUCCACUCAAUCCGUUGGGCUAAUCCUCUAAGUGUCAUAAACAGACCUAGAGUUCGUACUAGAAUAACACCUUAAGACACAAAUCAACCAAAACCCUAAUGUCACCUAGAUACUCCAAUGUCACCUCAAGUAUCCGUGCGUAUGAUUAUACGAUAUGCAUCACACAAUCUCAGAUUCAUCUAUUCAACCAACACAUAAACCUCAAAGAGUGCCCCAAAGUUUAUACUGGAGAAUCACGACGAAAAUGUGUGCCAACCCCUAUGCAUAGGUUCAUGGGUGGAACCCGCAAGUUGAUCACCAAAACAUACAUCAAGUGAAUCACGUGAUAUCCCAUUGUCACCAUAGAUACGCACGGCAAGAAAUACAUCAAGUGUUCUCAAAUCUUCAAAGACUCAAUCCGAUAAGAUAACUUCAAAGGGAAAACUCAAUCCAUUACAAGAGAGUAGAGGGGGGAGAAAACAUCAUAAGAUCCAACUAUAAUAGCAAAGCUCUCGAUACAUCAAGAUCAUAUCACCUCAAUAACACGAGAGAGAGAGAGAGGGAGAGAGAGAGAGAGAGAGAGAGAGAGAGAGAUCAAACACAUAGCUACUGGUACAUACCCUCAGCCCCGAGGGACAACUACUCCCUCCUCGUCAUGGAGAGCACUGGGAUGAUGAAGAUGGCCACCGAAGAGGGAUUGCCCCCUCUGGCAGGGUGCCGGAACGGGUCUAGAUUGGUUUUCGGUGGCUACGGAGGCUUCUGGCGGCGGAACUCCCAAUCUAUUGUGCUCUCAGAUGUUUUUAGGGUAUAUGGAGAUAUAUAGGCGGAAGAAAUAUGUCAGGGGGGCCACGAGGGGCCCACGAGGGUGGAGGGCGUGCCCCUGCCUUGUGGCUUUCUCAUAGAUCCCCUGACAUGCACUCCAAGUCUUCUGGGCUUCUUCUGAUCCAAAAAUAAGUUCCUGAAGUUUCAGGUCAAUUGGACUCCGUUUGAUUUUCCUUUUCUGCGAUACUCUAAAGCAAGGAAAAAACAAAAACUAGCACUGGGCUCGGUGUUAAUAGGUUAGUCCCAAAAAUUAUAUAAAAGUGUAUAAUAAAACCCAUAAACAUCCAAAACAGAAGAUAAUAUAGCAUGGAGCAAUAAAAAAUUAUAGAUACGUUGGAGACAUAUCAGCAUCCCCAAGCUUAAUUCAUGCUCGUCCUCGAGUAGGUAAAUGAUAAAAACAGAAUUUUUGAUGCGGAGUGCUACUUGGCAUAAUUUCAAUGUAAUUCUUCUUAAUUGUGGCAUGAAUAUUCAGAUCUGUAAGAUUCAAGAUAAAAGUUCAUAUUGACAUAAAAAUAAUAAUACUUCAAGCAUACUAACUAAGCAAUUAUGUCUUCUCAAAAUAACAUGGCCAAGAAAGUUCUCCCUACAAAAUCAUAUAGUUUAGUCAUGCUCCAUUUUCGUCACACAAGAAUGCUCUCAUCAUGCACAACCCCGAUGACAAGCCAAGCAAUUGUUUCAUACUUUAGUAAUCUCAAACCUAUAAACUUUCACGCAAUGUAUGAGCGCGAGCCAUGGACAUAGCACUAUGGGUGGAAUAGAAUAUAAUGAGGGGGGUUAUGCGGAGAAGACAAAAAGGAGAAAGUCUCACAUCAACGAGGCUAAUCAAUGGGCUAUGGAGAUGCCCACCGAUUGAUGUUGAUGCAAGGAGUAGGGAUUGCCAUGCAACGGAUGCACUAGAGCUAUAAAUGUAUGAAAGCUCAACAAAAGAAACUAAGUGGGUGUGCAUCCAACUUGCUUGCUCACGAAGACGUAGGGCACUUGAGGAGGCCCAUUGUUGGAAUAUACAAGCCAAGUUCUAUAGUGAAAAUUCCCACUAGUAUAUGAAAGUGACAAAACAAGAGACUCUCUAUCAUGAAGAUUAUGGUGCUACUUUGAAGCACAAGUGUGGCAAAGGAUAGUAGCAUUGUCCCUUAUCUCUUUUUCUCUCUUUUUAUUUUUUUUAUUUUUUUUAUUUGGGCCUUUUCCUUUUUUAUGGCCUUUCUCUUUUUUUGGGCCUUCUCUUUUUUAUGGCCUUUCUCCCCCCUUUUUUAUUCCUCACUUGGGACAAUGCCCUAGAAAAUGAUGAUCAUCACACUUCUAUUUAUUUACAACUCAAUGAUUACAACUCGAUACUAGAACAAAGUAUGACUCUAUAUGAAUGCCUCCGACGGUGUACCGGGAUAUGCAAUGAACCAAGAAUGAAAUGUAUGAAAUAAUUAUGAACGGUGGCUUUGCCACAAAUACUAUGUGAACUACAUGAUCAUGCUAAGCAAUAUGGCAAUGAUGAACGUGUCAUGAUAAACGGAAUGGUGGAAAGUUGCAUGGCAAUAUAUCUCGGAAUGGCUAUGGAAAUGCCAUAAUAGGUAGGUAUGGUGGCUGUUUUGAGGAAGAUAUAAGGAGGUUUAUGUGUGAAAGAGCGUAUCAUAUCACGGGGUUUGGAUGCACCGGCGAAGUUUGCACCAACUCUCAAUGUGAGAAAGGGCAAUGCACGGUACCGAAGAGGCUAGAAAUGAUGGAAGGGUGAGAGUGCGUAUAAUCCAUGGACUCAAUGUUAGUCAUAAAGAACUCACAUACUUAUUGCAAAAAUCUACAAGUCAUCAGAAACCUCGGCACUACGCGCAUGCUCCUAGGGGGAUAGAUUGGUACGAAAAGACCAUCGCUCGUCCCCGACCGCCACUCAUAAGGAGGACAAUCAAAUAACACCUCAUGUUUCAAAUUUGUUACAUAACGUUUACCAUACGUGCAUGCUACGGGACUUGCAAACUUCAACACACGCAUUUCUCAAAUUCACAACUACUCAACUAGCACGACUUUGAUAUUAUUACCUCCAUAUCUCAAAAUAAUCAUCAAGCAUCAAACUUCUCUUAGUAUUCAAUACUCUAAAUGAAAGUUUUUACUAUUCUUGAAUACCUAGCAUAUUAGGAUUUUUUAAGAAAAUUACCAUGCUAUUUAAGACUCUCAAAAUAAUCUAAGGAAGCAUGAGAGAUCAAUAGUUUCUAUAAAACAAAUCCACCACCGUGCUCUAAAAGAUAUAAGUGAAGUAUUAGAGCAAAUGACAAACUACUCCGAAAGAUAUAAAUGAAGAUCAAUGAGUAGUCGAAUAAUUAUGCAACUAUGUGAAGACUCUCUAACAUCUAAUAAUUUCAGAUCUUGGUAUUUUAUUCAAACAGCUAGCAAAACAAAUGAAAAUGGCAUUCUAAGAAUGGCAAAUAUCAUGUGAAGAAGCAAAAACUUAGGAUCAACCGAAACUAACCGGUAGUUGUUGAAGAAGAAAGGUGGGAUGCCAACCGGGGCAUCCACAAGCUUGAGCUUUUGUGUCUCCUUAAUUCCUCUCAUAUCACGGUCUCCCUAAAUCUCAAAAGCUUCAUCCACACAAAACUCAACAAGGACUCGUGAGAUAAGUUAGUAUAAACCAUUGCAAAAACCUUAUCAUACUCUACUGUAGCAAAUCACUAAAAUUAUUAUUCAACAUUGCAUACUAAAUGUCUCUGCAUAUUUAAUAGUCCUAUACUCAAAUAGAAUCAUUAAAGAAGCAAACAUAUGCAAACAUAACAGCAAUCUGCCUAAACAGGACAGUCUGUAAAGAAUGCAGCAACAUCCAUACUUCCCUAGCUCCAAAAAUUAUGAAAGAAAAUUCCCACUGUAGUAAAUUUAUCAGAUCUUAAUAUGCAAAAGGUUUCAACAUUUUAUCACAUUCUGAAUUUUCUAGGGAAUUAUUGCAACAGCGGUAAACUUUCUGUUUUCAAACAGCAACAUGUGGAAUUCUAAAAUAGGCAUAGUAAAGGCUAUCAAUGCCACUUUUGUUGAAAUAAAAGAUGCAAAACAUUGUUCUAAAUGACAGCAAGCAACUCUUAACAAAAUAAACUGAUGCUCCAAGCAAAACACAUAUCAUGUGGUGAAUAAAAAUAUAGCACCAAGUAAAGUUACCGAUGAACGAAGACGAAAGAGGGGAUGCCUUCCGGGGCAUCCCCAAGCUUAGGCUCUUGCUAUCCUUGAAUAUUACCUUGGGGUGCCUUGGGCACCCCCAAGCUUAGGCUCUUUCCACUCCUUAUUCCAUAGUCCAUCGAAUCCUUACCCAAAACUUGAAAACUUCACAACACAAAACUUAACAGAAAACUCGUAAGCUCCGUUAAUAUAAGAAAAUAAAUCACAACUUCAAGGUACUGUAAUGAACUCAUUCUUAAUUUAUAUUGGUGUUAAACCUACUGUAUUCCAACUUCUCUAUGGUUUAUAAACUCUUUUACUAGCCAUAGAUUCAUCAAAAUAAGUAAACAACACAUGAAAAACAGAAUCUGUCAAAAACAGAAUAGUCUGUAGUAAUCUGGAUCAAACGUAUACUUCUAGAACUCAUAAAAUUCUCAAAUAAAUUGGUGGACCUUAUUAGUUUUUCUACUAAUCAUCUGCAAAAAGAAAUAACUAAAUAGCACUUUCCAAAUAAAAAUGGCAGCAAUUCUCGUGAGCGCUAAAGUUUCUGUUUUUUACAGCAUGAUCAACAAGAUUUUCCCCAAGUCUUCCCAAAGGUUCUACUGGGCACAAACACUAAUUAAACACAUACAAACUCAAUCAUAACAUAGGCUAGAUGAAUUAUUUAUUACUAAACAGGAACAAAAAGCAAGGAACAAAAAUAAAAUUGGGUUGCCUCCCAACAAGCGCUAUCGUUUAACGCCCCUAGCUAGGCAUGAUGAUUUCAACGCUGCUCACAUAAGAGAUAAGAAUUGUAACAUAAAGAGAGCAUCAUGAAGAAUAUGACUAGCACAUUUAAGUCUAACCCACUUCCUAUGCGUAGGGAUUUUGUGAGCAAACAACUUAUGGGAACAAUAAUCAACUAGCAUAGGAGGGCAAAACAAGCAUAACUUCAAAACUUUAAGCACAUAGAGAGGAAACUUGAUAUUAUUGCAAUUCCUACAAGCAUAUGUUCCUCCCUGUCGGUGUCAAAACCGGCGGAUCUCGGGUAGGGGGUCCCGAACUAUGCGUCUAGGCCGGAUGGUAACAGGAGACAAGGGACAUGAAGUUUUACCCAGGUUCGGGCCCUCUUGAUGGAGGUAAAACUCUACGUCCUGCUUGAUUAAUAUUGAUGAUAUGGGUGUUACGAGAGUAGAUCUACCACGAGAUCAGAGAGGCUAAACCCUAGAAGCUAGACUACGGUAUGAUUGUAUGUUGUGAUUGUUGUCCUACGGACUAAAACCCUUCGGUUUAUAUAGACACCGGAGAGGGUUUGGGUUACACAAGGUCGGUUACAAAGGAGGAGAUAUCCAUAUACGUAUUGCCUAGCUUGCCUUCCACGCCAAGUAGAGUCCCAUUCGGACACGAGACGAAGUCUUCAUUCUUUGUAUCUUCAUAAUCUAACAGUCCGGCCAAUGGAGAUAGUCCGGCUAUCCAGAGACCCCCUAAUCCAGGACUCCCACAGUAGUCCCUGAACCAGGCUUCAAUGACGAUGAGUCCAGCGCGUAGUAUUGUCUUCGGCAUUGCAAGGCGGGUUCCCUCUCUGAAUACAUGACAAAAGAAGUUGAAUACGAGGAUAGUGUCCGACCCUGCAAAAUAAAUUCCACAUUCCAUCGUAGAGAGAAUAAUGUUUUCGCAGAUCUAAUCCGCUAGCUUGUUUUGGCAACAUGACGUUACGUCAUGGCCCGGUGAUUAUUCGAACCGUUUCUUUUAACCAGCCCCGCACAUAACGCGAGGCAGUUUUUCGACACGUCUUGUCAAAGCAGAGAUCAUGUCCCCUUAUUACGGGAUUCUCAUCAAUACAGGUGUGGGUAACCCAACCGCGCCAUUAAUUAUGGCGCUUGGGGAUAAGCGAGUUUUACCAGGUAAGUGGGGACGCUUAGUUUUGUCCGCCCAUAUAAAGGGAUAAGGAUUCACCUUUCUAUCCACGCCUUCUUCCUCCUCUGCUCAUCCGCUCCCGCACACUCGAGCUCUAGCGCCCAAGUCCUCACUUCCGUCUCAACCUUCUCCAACCAUGUACGGAGCGGGAGGCAAGUGGAUGGUCUCCUCCGUCACGGAGGGAGAUGUCAAGAAACUAAGGAGAGCCGGAUACCUGCCCGACGACAUCGCACACCGGCUCCCAGAUGAGGGACAGCUCAUCCCCAUCCCCGAGCCCCAUGAGAGGGUGGUAUUCCUCACCCAAUUCCUCCGUGGACUGGGAUUCCCUCUCCAUCCCUUUGUCCGGGGGCUCAUGUUCUAUUACGACCUGGAUUUCCACGAUCUGGCGCCGAACUUCAUCCUCAACAUCUCGGCGUUUAUCAUCGUGAGCGAGGCCUUCCUCCGCAUCAAGCCCCACUUCGGCUUAUGGCUGAAGACCUUCAAUGUCAAGCCGAAGGUAGUGAGCGGCCGCCAGGCGGAGUGUGGAGGCGCCAUGGUGGGCAAGAUGCCCAACAUCACAUGGCUCGAGGGCACCUUCGUGGAUACCAUAAAGGGGUGGCAAUCGGGGUGGUUCUAUAUCACCGAGCCGCGUGACCCCGCAUGGGUAGCGGCCCCCGAGUUCCGAUCUGGCAUCCCCAUGCGGCUCACCUCCUGGAAAGAGAAGGGCCUGUCCUGGGGUAAUUCAAAAGAGCUGACCGGACUCCAGUCAUGUAUUCAGAACAUGGUGGACAAGAAGCUAUAGCUUGUCAACAUAGUCCAGGUUAUGCUCGUCCGCCGGAUACUCCCGUGCCAACAAUGGGAGUUUAACUUGUGGGAGUUCAAUCCGGCGCAGCAUCGAACUCUGAACAGGCUCUUCGAUAUGACUCAUGAAGAUGCCUGGAGGGUGCUGUUCAAGAGCGCCGAGGUCCCUCCCCCCAUUACCGAGGAUCGCGGAUUCAGCGGGAAGCGCGACACCAGUGCGGUAAGUUGUUUUAUCUUUUAUAGGAUACUUGUUUUCUAUAUAGAUUGACUCUAUGCGGGAUCUAAACUCUCGUAAUUUUGUCAGGACUGGCAGAAGAUGGCCAGACAGAUCAACUGUCCAGCUCCCUUGCCCGAAGGCCCCGCAGACGCUCUUCUGACGAAGAUGUUGACCCCGGCCCCUUAUAAGGUGCCGGAGAAGACCAAGAAGGCCAAGGGAGCUCGUAAGAGUUCUCGACGCCAGGCGUCAUUGGACUCACCGCCCGAUGACUCUGCCGCGCACUCUUCCCCCGAAGACGAGGAAGAGGAAGAAGAGGCUCCCCCGUCGAUUGGGGGAGACAAGAAAAGGAAGGCCGCCCCAACUGGGGAGGCCGGAGGGUCCAAGAAGGGAAGGACGCUCCUUCUGGACAGCUCCACCGCCGCCGACGAAAGUGAAGAUGAGUGGUUUCCCAGGGCCAAGCCCCAGGGGAGAUCGUAAGUAUUCAGAUACCAAAGUAACCCAUACGAUUCCUUUGUCGCAUUGCUUUCCCUAAUGCCGAACUCAAUUGUGCAGGCCGACCCGAGCCAAUAUCGAGGUAUCCUCGGACGGCUCCCUGGGCUCGUCGGACAUGGAUAGCGAUCCUGUCCUGACCGCCACCUCCCCUCAUCCAGCCGACAACGCCGAGGUGCUGUAUUAAGAGGCACCGGAUCGAGGGGGGACAGUCCCAGAGGCGCCUCAAGGCGACCUUCCGGACUCCGGGAACCGAGGGGACGGGGUCCCCGAGAGCUCCGAGUUCGGCCCUCAGCCGAACACCGCGCUGGACCCUCCAAUGGUUCCGAGCUCGGGCAGGCGGUCCCCUUCUAAGGGGGUGAGACUCCUGUGCCGGUGAACUCUGUCCAUCCAAAGGCGCCGGACACUAUGUUGGAAGCACUUCGCAGCGCUUCCAUCGAGGAGGAGCACCGCACUAUCAUGAGUGCGGUGAUCCAGAAGGUUCAGUCCGCCAAGAGCGGAUUGACUGAAGCCUGUACUAGCCUUGUAGCAGGCUUCGAGGUAAGUGUUUAAUAUGUAGUAGAAAUAUUACCGCAUAGACAGCAGCCCCUGAUGCUUUGUUCGGUGUUCACAAAGAAAAUCCGAUCAGAGGAUCAAAUAAUAUCUCAGGAGUCUAAUAUAAGUAUGUCAAUAUGCAUAUGCAGGCUUCGCUGCUGGCGUCCGCCGCACUAACUGCGGAGGUCGCCGUACUGAAGGAGGCCCUCGAGGGGUCCCAGAAAGAGCUCGGCCUUGCUAAGAGGCAGCUCGAGGAGAACAAGGGUAAGUAAUACCCCGUCUGUAGAUGAGGAAAAGGACGCAAUUGCUAAAUGACAGGAUCAUUGUAUGUUUGGCAGGGGCCACGACCGAGGUGGCGACCCUGAAGCAAGCGCUGUCCCAGGCCGAAGAAAAGGCAGCCCGGGAGCUCACCGAGCGAGAGAGGCACGAGGCUCGGGUGGGCGAGGUGCAGCAAGAGCUGCAGCCUCUCAUGACGAAGCACGAGGCGUUGGAGCUUGACUUGAAGACGCGAGAGUCUAAGCUUGCCGCGGCCCGUGAGAGCGCGAAGAGUGCCAAGGCCAAGGCCCAGAAGGCCCUUCAGGAGAUCGACGCGAUAAAGAAGAUAGCGGCGGGUAAGGCUUUCUAUAUGCAAAGCAAGCAUGUAAAUGUAAAUUAUCGAUUACUUACCCGGAUCCGGACCUCUUCAGGACCAUUCGCAGAUUUGCCCCGCAGUUUGUCCGAUGCCGCACAAUUUUACCAGGCCGAGGACGAUAGCUCGAUGGAGAAGCUGUUCUGGUCUCAGUAUGCUGAGGCCGAACAUCCAGUGCCGAUGGGCGACCAGCUGAAGCAGAUGGCCGAGCUACAUAAGGCGGCCGAUCAGGCCAUGAAGGGCUUCAUUGUCCGGUUGUGGCCUGGCGAUGCCCUUCCGAAUAGCUUCUUUGGCCUGGUGAGGGGGCUUGUGGAUGCCUACCCACGGCUGGAGGUCGUCAAGCGAUCCGUCUGCAUUGAAGGUGCACGUCGGGCCUUCGCCCGUGUAAAAAUGCAGUGGGUCAAGCUAGACGCCGUGAACCUGAUCAAGGAGGGGCCGCCGGAGGGCAAGGAGCACCGCCACCCCGAGAUGUACUACGAGGGUGUUCUGCCGGGUGCCCGUCUUAUCGCGGAUGAGUGUUCGCAAAAUGUAAUAUUUGAAUGAGACUUGCUCGUUUUGUCCUCUAUGUAUGAAAACUUGUAUCGUAUUCGCUAUGCAACGCUUGUGUGAAUUUAAAAUAUUACCUUCUGUUUGGCUGUUUAUCCAAUCUGAGAGAUGGCUAGUCCUCGGCUUCUGCCCCCAUGCCACGAGUGCUGGGGUGUUCAGGAUAAACCUGAGCACUCUUGUUCCCAUGUUUGGGUCCUUCGAGGGAGGUGCUCAGCACAACGAACAAGGCAACCGGACUAAUAAUGCUUUAUCACUCUCACUUAGCCAUAGAAUUCUAUAAUUUUAAAUUUUGGUGAAGCCCCUGGUAUUUGGAAGGCCGAAUUCGGGGCGCGAUACACGCCUGUAAGCCGGACGGAGCCGGCCCCUCUCCCUAAGUGGCAUAAGUCUUUAGGGACUCGAAAAACCUCGCCGAACAGCGACCAGUCUCUCGCCUUGUCAUGACAGUCAGUUUUAGCUUUCUCUACUGAGGUGCUCGGCUCGGCAGAACCGGGGCACAAUCGCAGUAGUUCUCCUAGCGCUACCUUAGCCGAUAGAGCGGAAUGUAAGGUACCAAAACAUAGGAGCCAGGCAAACCCAACAUUUGACCAAAGACAUGAUUCGGAGCUGAUGCAUAUAAUGCUAUAAGUUCGGGGUGCCGCACUUGUGAAAGUAUUCGGACUUUUCACACCAUAUUGUGCGGACGUAAGCCCCUGGUGCAUUGGCUGUACCAGAGUGUACGGUUGCUAGGCAUCAUUAAUGAACACAUAGAUAUGUAUAUAUAUAACAAAAAUGUGAUAAUAGUCGUAAUGUUAUGUAUUGUAUAUUAAAAAAUUGCAUUAAAGCAGAGUGAUACAGAUAGUAUAAUAAGCAAAAGAGUAGGACUAUGUCCCUUCCAAGGGCGGGCUGAGGAAUUAUAUGAACUCUGUAAUCCACCUGGGAAUUCCGUAGUUGUCCACUACUAGGAAAAGGGCUAUAGAUGGAAUUGACACUAAUGGCGCACCAGACAUGUGGUGCGCCAUUACUAUAUACUAAUGGCGCACCAUGUGUUGGUGCGCCAUUAGUGUCCAAAUACUAAUGGCGCACCACAUCCACGGUGCGCCAUUAGUAAAAAAAAUUAAAACUUUUUUCAAAACUACUAAUGGCGCACCGUGGGAGUGGUGCGCCAUUACUAGACUAGUAAUGGCGCACCACUCCCACGGUGCGCCAUUAGUAACUUGGCCACCACUUCCAUCGAAUGCACCCCCCCUGUGGAUCGCCUUUUCAGUUUAAAUAAAAAAUAAAAGAAAAUAUGUUUCCCAUGUGAUAUGUGGUCUAGUUGUUGUGAAAAUUUACAAAUAUGAAUUUCGACUUUAUUUGCGAAAUCUCUCGAGAAUUUGUAAAAUGGGCAUAACUUUUGUGUAUGAACUCGGAUGAAAAAGUUUUAUAUAUGAAAAAUCAUCUACUCGAAAAGUUACAUCCAAAUUUAAAAGGGGGAACCCCGUUAAAUUUUUUCAAAAUCCUCAAAUACCUAACAGAAAAAAAGAUACGGGGCUUUUAAGAUAUGGAGAGGCAAAAAAUUCAAAAAAAUAAUUCAAACUUACUAAUGGCGCACCUACCCAUGGUGCGCCAUUACUAUCUUCCCGCCUUCAAAUUUCAAAAUAAGUCAAAAAAUAAAAAAAAAGUUACUAAUGGCGCACCUGCCCAUGGUGCGCCAUUAGUAUCUUCCCGCCUUCAAAAUUCAAAAUAAAUCAAAAAAAUAAAAAAAGUUAGUAAUGGUGCACCUACCCGCGGUGCGCCAUUACUAUGUCGUAUAUAUGGCUGGGCGUGGCCCUCUCCUCCUUACCUCUUCAUUCUUCUCCUCCACUCCACCUCUCCUCCACUUCAUCUCCUCCACUCCUCCACUCCAUCUUCCCUUCUCUCCUCCACCAUACUACCCUCCUCCUCUCCGGCGACCUCCUCCUUCCUCCUCCUCCCUCCUCUCCUCCCCUCACGGUUUCUCCUCCCUCCUCUCCGGUGAACUCCUCCUCCCUCCUCUCCGGUGAGGNNNNNNNNNNNNNNNNNNNNNNNNNNNNNNNNNNNNNNNNNNNNNNNNNNNNNNNNNNNNNNNNNNNNNNNNNNNNNNNNNNNNNNNNNNNNNNNNNNNNNNNNNNNNNNNNNNNNNNNNNNNNNNNNNNNNNNNNNNNNNNNNNNNNNNNNNNNNNNNNNNNNNNNNNNNNNNNNNNNNNNNNNNNNNNNNNNNNNNNNNNNNNNNNNNNNNNNNNNNNNNNNNNNNNNNNNNNNNNNNNNNNNNNNNNNNNNNNNNNNNNNNNNCUCUCCUCCCAUCCCCUCAUGGUUUCUCCUUCCUCCUCUCCGAUGCUCCGGUCAACUCCUCUCCGGCGACCUCCUCCUCCUCCUCUCCGGCGAUGUAGGCGAGCGCCUCUCCGGUGACCUCCUCCUCCUCCUCUCCGGCGAACUCCUCUCCGGCAAAAUAACACUACAAAAGAACGUACAAGAUCCAAAAAUAGGAACAAAAUUUGAAAUAAUAUCGUGCCAAAAAACGAGCAAAAAAGAGCAAAAAAUGGGCAAAAAAAUCACGACCCAGAUCCAAAUUCAAAAUUCAAAAAUAGCAAUGGCGCUGUCGGACAGUGUUUCUAGAGAUUGAAGUCCUGAAAGAAAAAGAAAAAUAACCAAACUGGAAGCCCCUGGUGAGGUUUAGGCCGCGUUUUGGGGCGUGCCGUAGUUGUGCCCCCCUCUCCACCUGUGCCCAUGGUAUUUUUAAUGCGUAAUUAUGUACGCGCAGCACGAACAACGCCGUUGGGCUGGGAUUGGGGUGGCCGCCAUAUUGCUACGCGAGCUCAGAUCGCGCCAGGCGGUCUGUUUGCCGAUUGCCCUGAGCGCGCUUGAAGGUGUCCUGGCUUUGAAACGCCAAACUGGUAGAUUGUCUUGAGAGGCUGCUUUGCGCUUCUGCUGCGAGGGCUGCGGUGUGCUCCUCUGUUCGGAGAGAGCGCUCUGUGUUUCCAUUGACUGUAAUAACUCCGCGAGGUCCUGGCAUCUUGAGCUUGAGGUAUUCAUAAUGUGGUACCGCAUUGAAUCUAGCAAAUGUGGUUCUUCCGAGCAGCGCGCGAUAACCACUGCAGAACGGGACUAUAUCGAAGAUUAACUCUUCGCUUCGGAAGUUAUCCGGGGAUCCGAAGACCACUUCCAGUGUAAUUGAGCCUGUGCAGUGGGCCUCUACGCCUGGAAUGACGCCCUUAAAGGUCGUCUUUGUGGGUUUGAUCCUUGAGGGGUCUAUACCCAUUUUGCGCACUGUGUCCUAAUAAAGCAGGUUCAGGCUGACGCCGCCGUCCAUAAGGACUCGAGUGAGGUGAAAUCCGUCGAUGAUUGGGUCUAGGACCAGUGCGGCGAAUCCGCCGUGAUGGAUACUAGUGGGGUGGUCCCUGCGAUCGAAGGUGAUCGGAUAGGAGGACCAAGGGUUGAACUUUGGGGUGACUGGCUCCAACGCAUAUACGUCCCUGGGCGCACGCUUCUGCUCCCUCUUGGGGAUGUGGGUUGCGUAUAUCAUGUUCACCGUCCGCACUUGCUGGGGAAACCUCUUCUGUCCUCCAGUGUGCGGCUGCCGGUGUUCUUCCUCGUCAUCGCUAUGCGGCCCCUUGUCCUUGUUUUCAACAAUUAACUUGCCGGCCUGCUUGAACACCCAACAAUCCCUGUUGGUGUGAUUGUCUGGCUUGUCUAGGGUGUCGUGUAUUUGACACGAGCGAUCGAGUAUACGGUCCAAGCUGGACGGACCCGGCAUACUUUGUUUGAAUGGCUUUUUCCGCUGACCGGGUUUAGAGCCUUUGAAUCCGGCAUUGAUUGCCGUAUCCUCAGUACUUUUGCCGUUAAUGCGGCGCUUAUGCUUGUUGCGACGUGACCUGCUAUUGCCGUCCUUGGUAUCUGAGGUACCAUGGUUCUUUGAUAUGUUAUUACUGCAAGCCAACCAGCUGUCUUCUCCCGCACAAAAGCGGGUCAUGAGCGUCGUGAGGGCUGCCAUGGAUUUUGGCUUUUCCUGACCAAGGUGCCGGGCUAGCCACUCGUCUCGGAUGUUGUGCUUGAAAGCCGCUAAGGCCUCCGCAUCCGGACAGUCGAUGAUUUGAUUUUUCUUUGUAAGGAACCGAGUCCAGAAUUUCCUGGCUGACUCUUAUGGCUGCUGAAUUAUGUGGCUCAAGUCAUCGGCGUCUGGUGGUUGCACAUAAGUGCCCUGAAAGUUGUCGAGGAAUGCGGCUUCCAGAUCUUCCCAACAGCUAAUGGAGUCCGCUGGCAAGCUAUUAAGCCAAUGUCGCGCUGGUCCUUUGAGUUUUAGUGGGAGGUAUUUGAUGGCAUGUAAGUCAUCACCGCGGGCCAUGUGGAUGUGAAGGAGGAAGUCCUCAAUCCAUACUGCGGGAUCUGUUGUGCCGUCGUAUGAUUCAAUGCUUACAGGUUUGAAACCUUCUGGGAAUUGAUGUUCCAUUACUUCAUCUGUGAAGCAUAAGGGGUGUGCGGCGCCUCUGUAUUGGGCUAUAUCGCGACGCAUUUAGGAUGGGUCCUGCCCGCUGUGUUCAGCACAGCCGGAUUUGCUUUUACUGUAUCCGGCGUGACGUUUAUCGUCUCGUAGAGUGGUGCGCCUUCGUGAUCCGUAGAUCGAUCUUGAAUGCUUUGCUUUGUCCUCCAAUAUGUCUCGCAGGUCUGGCGUAUCUCCCCAUGCCUUUUUAUUUGAAUGGCGUUGGGGUGGAGGCUGAGCUUUUGGCUGGAAUGCCACUCUAUCGCGGCCACGGGGUGGCCGAUCAGCUGUUUCGUAUGCUUCUUCCUCCAGUCGGGGAAGCAACCUGCGCCUUGGAUAACUCUUGGAGGGACGCUCGAGUUUAUAUUGCUCGGUCAUGAGGACUUCACUCCAUUUGUCAGCUAGCAGAUCUUGGUCAGCUUGAAGCUGCUGCUGCUUUUUCUUCAGGCUAUUUGCCGUGGCCAUAAGCCUGCGCUUGAAGCGCUCUUGUUCCACGGGAUCCUCUGGUACGGCGAAUUCAUCGUCGCCGAGGCUUGCCUCGUCUUCGGAGGGGGGCAUGUAAUUGUCAUCCUCCUCCACUCCGCCAGCCGCUCUCUCAGGAGAGCUGGCUCCUUCAUCCUCCUGCUCUUGCUGGAGGGGAUUGUUGUUGUCUUCGACGCUAUCCGGAGUGUUAUUAUCUCCUGUGCCGGUAUCACCACUUUUGCUUUGGCGGGACUUAGAGCGGCGCCGCUGAUGUCGGCGCUUGGGUUGCUUCUUGGAGGGGUCGUCCUCCGUUAUCUCGUCGCCGUUGCCUUCAUUGGGUGUAUCCACCAUGUAUAUGUCAUACGACGAGGUGGCUGUCCAGUGCCCUGUAGGUGCUGGUGUUGGGGAACAUAGUAAUUUCAAAAAAUUUCCUACGCACACGCAAGAUCAUGGUGAUGCAUAGCAACGAGAGGGGAGAGUGUUGUCCACGUACCCUCGUAGACCGAAAGCGGAAGCGUUAUAACAACGCGGUUGAUGUAGUCGUACGUCUUCAGGGCCCGACCGAUCAAGCACCAAAACUAUGACACCUCCGAGUUUUAGCACACGUUCAGCUCGAUGAUGAUCCCCGGACUCCGAUCCAGCAAAGUGCCGGGGAAGAGUUCCGUCAGCACGACGGCGUGGUGACGAUCUUGAUGUUCUACCGUCGCAGGGCUUCGCCUAAGCACCGCUACAAUAAUAUCGAGGAUUAUGGUGGAGGGGGGCACCGCACACGGCUAAGAGAUCUCAUGGAUCAAUUGUUGUGUCUAGAGGUGCCCCCUGCCACCGUAUAUAAAGGAGCAAGGGGGAGGGGCAGCCGGCCAUGAUGAGGCGCGCCAGGGAGGAGUCCUACUCCUACCGGGAGUAGGACUCCCUCCUUUCAUUGUCCAAGUAGGAGAGGGGGAAGGAAGGGAGAGAGGAGAGGAAGGAAAGGGGGGCGCCGCCCCUCCCUCCUUGUCCAAUUCGGACUAGGGGAGAGGGGGCGCGCGCCUGCCCUGGCUGCCCCUCCUCUUCUCCACUUUAGGCCCAUGAGGCCCAUUAACCCCCCGGGGGGUUCCGGUAACCCCCCGGUACUCCGGUUUUAUUCGAAACUUCACCGGAACACUUCCGGUGUCCGAAUAUAGUCGUCCAAUAUAUCAAUCUUUAUGUCUCGACCAUUUUGGGACUCCUCGUCAUGUCCCCGAUCUCAUCCGGGACUCCGAACUCCUUUGGUACAUCAAAACAUAUAAACUCAUAAUGAAACUGUCAUUGAAACCUUAAGCGUGCGGACCCUACGGGUUUGAGAAUAAUGUAGACAUGACCGAGACACGUCUCCGGUCAAUAACCAAUAGCGGAACCUGGAUGCUCAUAUUGGCUCCCACAUAUUCUACGAAGAUCUUUAUCGGUCAGACAGCAUAACAACAUACGUUGUUCCCUUUGUCAUCGGUAUGUUACUUGCCCGAGAUUCGAUCGUCGGUAUCUCAAUACCUAGUUCAAUCUCGUUACCGUCAAGUCUCUUUACUCGUUCCGUAAUACAUCAUCUCGCAACUAACUCAUUAGUUGCAAUGCUUGCAAGGCUUAUGUGAUGUGCAUUACCGAGAGGGCCCAGAGAUAUCUCUCCGACAAUCGGAGUGACAAAUCCUAAUCUCGAAAUACGCCAACCCAACAUGUACCUUUGGAGACACCUGUAGAACUCCUUUAUAAUCACCCAGUUACGCUGUGACGUUUGGUAGCACACAAAGUGUUCCUACGGCAAACGGGAGUUGCAUAAUCUCAUAGUCAUAGGAACAUGUAUAAGUCAUGAAGAAAGCAAUAGCAACAUACUAAACGAUCGGGUGCUAAGCUAAUGGAAUGGGUCAUGUCAAUCACAUCAUUCUCCUAAUAAUGUGAUCCCGUUAAUCAAAUGAGAACACAUGUCUAUGGUUAGGAAACAUAACCAUCUUUGAUUAAUGAGCUAGUCAAGUAGAGGCAUGCUAGUGACGUUUAGUUUGUCUAUGUAUUCACACAAGUAUUAUGUUUCCGGAUAAUACAAUUCUAGCAUGAAUAAUAAACAUUUAUCAUGAUAUAAGGAAAUAAAAUAGUAACAUUAUUAUUGCCUCUAGGGCAUAUUUCCUUCAGUCUCCCACUUGCACUAGAGUCAAUAAUCUAGAUUACAUAGUAAUGAUUCUAACACCCAUGGAGCUUUGGUGCUGAUCAUGUUUUGCUCGUGGAAGAGGCUUAGUCAAUGGGCCUGCAACAUUCAGAUCCGUAUGUAUCUUGCAAAUCUCUAUGUCUCCCACCUGGACUAGAUCCCGGAUGGAAUUGAAGCAUCUCUUGAUGUGCUUGGUUCUCUUGUGAAAUCUGGAUUCCUUUGCCAAGGCAAUUGCACUAGUAUUGUCACAAAAGAUUUUCAUUGGACCCGAUGCACUAGGUAUGACACCUAGAUCAGAUAUGAACUCCUUCAUCCAGACUCCUUUGUUUGCUGCAUCCGAAGCAGCUAUGUACUCCGCUUCACAUGUAGAUCCCGCCGCAACGCUUUGUUUAGAACUGCACCAACUGACAGCUCCACCGUUUAAUGUAAACACGUAUCCGGUUUGCGAUUUAGAAUCGUCCGGAUCAGUGUCACAGCUUGCAUCAACGUAACCAUUUACAAUGAGCUCUUUGUCACCUCCAUAUACAAGAAACAUAUCCUUAGUCCUUUUCAGGUAUUUCAGGAUGUUCUUGACCGCUGUCCAGUGAUCCACUCCUGGAUUACUUUGGUACCUCCCUGCUAGACUUAUAGCAAGACACACAUCAGGUCUGGUACACAACAUUGCAUACAUGAUAGAGCCUAUGGCUGAAGCAUAGGGAACAUCUUUCAUUUUCUCUCUAUCUUCUGCAUUGGUCGGGCAUUGAGUCUUACUCAAUUUCACACCUUGUAACACAGGCAAGAAUCCUUUCUUCGCUUGGUCCAUUUUGAACUUCUUCAAAACUUUGUCAAGGUAUGUGCUUUGUGAAAGUCCAAUUAAGCGUCUUGAUCUAUCUCGAUAGAUCUUAAUGCCCAAUAUGUAAGCAGCUUCACCGAGGUCUUUCAUUGAAAAACUCUUAUUCAAGUAUCCCUUUAUGCUAUCCAGAAAUUCUAUAUCAUUUCCGAUUAGUAAUAUGUCAUCUACAUAUAAUACCAGAAAUGCUACAGAGCUCCCACUCACUUUCAUGUAAAUACAGGCUUCUCCAAAAGUCUGUACAAAACCAAAUGCUUUGAUCACACUAUCAAAGCGUUUAUUCCAACUCCGAGAGGCUUGCACCAGUCCAUAAAUGGAUCUCUGGAGCUUGCACACUUUGUUAGCUCCCUUUGGAUCGACAAAACCUUCUGGCUGCAUCAUAUACAACUCUUCUUCCAGAAAUCCAUUCAGGAAUGCAGUUUUUACAUCCAUCUUCCAAAUUUCAUAAUCAUAAAAUGCGGCAAUUGCUAACAUGAUUCAGACAGACUUAAGCAUCGCUACGGGUGAGAAGGUCUCAUCGUAGUCAAUUCCUUGAACUUGUCGAAAACCUUUUGCGACAAGUCGAGCUUUGUAGACAGUAAUAUUACCAUCAGCGUCAGUCUUCUUCUUGAAGAUCCAUUUGUUCUCAAUUGCUUGCCGAUCAUUGGGAAAGUCAACCAAAGUCCAUACUUUGUUCUCAUACAUGGAUCCCAUCUCAGAUUUCAUGGCUUCAAGCCAUUUUGCGGAAUCUGGGCUCACCAUCGCUUCUUCAUAGUUCGUAGGUUCAUCAUGAUCUAGUAGCAUGACUUCCAGAACAGGAUUACUGUACCACUCUGGUGCGGAUCUUACUCUGGUUGAUCUACAAGGUUCGGUAGUAACUUGUUCUGAAGUUUCAUGAUCAUUAUCAUUAGCUUCCUCACUAAUUGGUGUAGGUGUUACAGAAACCGGUUUCUGCGAUGUACUACUUUCCAAUAAGGGAGCAGGUAUAGUUACUCAUCAAGUUCUACUUUCCUCCCACUCACUUCUUUCGAGAGAAACUCCUUCUCUAGAAAGGAUCCAUUCUUAGCGACAAAUGUCUUGCCUUCGGAUCUGUGAUAGAAGGUGUACCCAACAGUCUCCUUUGGGUAUCCUAUGAAGACACAUUUCUCCGAUUUGGGUUCGAGCUUAUCAGGUUGAAGUUUUUUCACAUAAGCAUCGCAGCCCCAAACUUUCAGAAACGACAAUUUUGGUUUCUUGCCAAACCACAGUUCAUAAGGCGUCGUCUCAAUGGAUUUUGAUGGUGCCCUAUUUAACGUGAAUGUGGCCGUCUCUAAAGCAUAACCCCAAAAUUAUAGCGGUAAAUCUGUAAGAGACAUCAUAGAUCGCACCAUAUCAAGUAAAGUACGAUUACGACGUUCGGACACACCAUUACGCUGUGGUGUUCCGGGUGGCGUGAGUUGCAAAACUAUUCCGCAUUGUUUCAAAUGUAGACCAAACUUGUAACUCAAAUAUUCUCCUCCACGAUCAGAUCAUAGAAACUUUAUUUUCUUGUUACGAUGAUUUUCAACUUCACUCUGAAAUUCUUUGAACUUUUCAUAUGUUUCAGACUUAUGUUUCAUUAAGUAGAUAUACCCAUAUCUUCUUAAAUCAUCUGUGAAGAUGAGAAAAUAACGAUAUCCGCCACGAGCUUCAACAUUCAUUGGACCACACACAUCUGUAUUUAUGAUUUCCAACAAAUCUGUUGCUCUCUCCAUAGUACCGGAGAACGGUGUUUUAUUCAUCUUGCCCAUCCUUCUUAUCCGCCAAAUACUUUGGGCAGUUCCGCUUCCAGUGACCAGUCUGCUUGCAGUAGAAGCACUCAGUUUCAGGCUUAGGUCCAGAUUUGGGUUUCUUCUCUUGAGCAGCAACUUGCUUGCUGUUCUUCUUGAAGUUCCCCUUCUUCUUCCCUUUGCCCUUUUUCUUGAAACCAGUGGUCUUGUUAACCAUCAACACUUGAUGCUCCUUCUUGAUUUCUACCUCCGCAACUUUCAGCAUUGCGAAGAGCUUGGGAAUAGUUUUAUUCAUCCCUUGCAUAUUAUAGUUCAUCACGAAGCUAGGUGGCAGUGAUUGGAGAAUUCUGUCAAUGACGCAAUCAUCUGGAAGAUUAACUCCCAAUUGAAUCAAGUGAUUAUUAUACCCAGACAUUUUGAGUAUAUGCUCACUGACAGAACUGUUCUCCUCCAUCUUGCAGCUAUAGAACUUAUUGGAGACUUCAUAUCUCUCAAUCUGGGCAUUUGCUUGAAAUAUUAACUUCAACUCCUGGAACAUCUCAUAUGCUCCAUGACGUUCAAAACGUCGUUGAAGUCCCGAUUCUAAGCCGUAAAGCAUGGCACACUAAACUAUCGACUAGUCAUCAGCUUUGCUCUGCCAGACGUUCAUAACAUCUGGUGUUGCUCCAGCAGCAGGCCUGGCACCCAACGGUGCUUCCAGGACGUAAUUCUUCUGUGCAGCAAUGAGAAUAAUCCUCAAGUUACGGACCCAAUCCGUGUAAUUGCUACCAUCAUCUUUCAACUUUGCUUUCUCAAGGAACGCAUUAAAAUUCAAUGGAACAAUAGCACGGGCCAUCUAUCUACAAUCAAACAUAAACACGCAAGAUACUAUCAGGUACUAAGUUCAUGAUAAAUUUAAGUUCAAUUAAUCAUAUUACUUAAGAACUCCCACUUAGAAAGACAUCCCUCUAAUCUUCUAAGUGAUUACGUGAUCCAAAUCAACUAAACCAUAACCGAUCAUCACGUGAAAUGGAGUAGUUUUCAAUGGUGACCAUUGCUAUGUUGAUCAUAUCUACUAUAUGAUUCACGCUCGACCUUUCGGUUCAGUGUUCUGAGGCCAUAUCUGUAUAUGCUAGGCUCGUCAAGUUUAACCUGAGUAUUCUGCAUGUGCAAAAACUGGCUUGCACCCGUUGUAGAUGGACGUAGAGCUUACCACACCCGAUCAUCACGUGGUGUCUGGGCACGACGAACUUUGGCAAUGGUGCAUACUCAUGGAGAACACUUUUAUCUUGAAAUUUAGUGAGAGAUCAUCUUAUAAUGCUACCAUCAAUCAAAGAAAGAUAAGAUGCAUAAAAUAUAAACAUCACAUGCAAUCAAUAUAAGUGAUAUGAUAUGGCCAUCAUCAUCUUGUACUUGUGAUCUCCAUCUCCGAAGUACCGUCAUGAUCACCAUCGUCACCGGCGCGACACCUUGAUCUCCAUCGUAGCAUCGUUGUCGUCUCGCCAAUCUUAUGCUUCCACGACUAUCGCUACCGCAUAAUGAUAAAGUAAAGCAUUAUAGCGCAGUUGCAUUGCAUACAAUAAAGCGACAACCAUAUGGCUCCUGCCAAUAACUCGGUUACAAAACAUGAUCAUAUCAUACAAGAAAAUUUAGCAUCAUGUCUUGACCAUAUCACAUCACAACAUGCCCUGCAAAAACAAGUUAGGCGUCCUCUACUUUGUUUGUUGCAAGUUUUACGUGGCUACUACGGGCUUAAGCAAGAACCAAUCUUACCUACGCAUCAAAACCACAACGAUAGUUUGUCAAGUUAGUGCUAUUUUAACCUUCGCAAGGACCGGGCGUAGCCAUACUCGGUUCAACUAAAGUUGGAGAAACUGACACCCGCCAGCCACCUGUGUGCAAAGCACGUCGGUAGAACCAGUCUCGCGUAAGCGUACGCGUAAUGUCGGUCCGGGCCGCUUCAUCCAACAAUACCGCCAAACCAAAGUAUGACAUGCUGGUAAGCAGUAUGACUUAUAUCGCCCACAACUCACUUGUGUUCUACUCAUGCAUAUAACAUCAACACAUAAAACCUAGGCUCUGAUACCACUGUUGGGGAACGUAGUAAUUUCAAAAAAUUUCCUACGCACACGCAAGACCAUGGUGAUGCAUAGCAAUGAGAGGGGAGAGUGUUGUCCACGUACCCUCGUAGACCGAAAGCGGAAGCGUUAUAACAACGUGGUUGAUAUAUAUGAUGAUCGGGUGUGGUAAGCUCUACGUCCAUCUACAACGGGUGCAAGCCAGUUUUUGCACAUGCAGAAUACUCAGGUUAAACUUGACGAGCCUAGCAUAUACAGAUAUGGCCUCAGAACACUGAGACCGAAAGGUCGAGCGUGAAUCAUAUAGUAGAUAUGAUCAACAUAGCAAUGGUCACCAUUGAAAACUACUCCAUUUCACGUGAUGAUCGGUUAUGGUUUAGUUGAUUUGGAUCACGUAAUCACUUAGAAGAUUAGAGGGAUGUCUUUCUAAGUGGGAGUUCUUAAGUAAUAUGAUUAAUUGAACUUAAAUUUAUCAUGAACUUAGUACCUGAUAGUAUCUUGCUUGUUUAUGUUUGAUUGUAGAUAGAUGGCCCGUGCUAUUGUUCCAUUGAAUUUUAAUGCGUUCCUUGAGAAAGCAAAGUUGAAAGAUGAUGGUAGCAAUUACACAGAUUGGGUCCGUAACUUGAGGAUUAUUCUCAUUGCUGCACAGAAGAAUUACGUCCUGGAAGCACCGUUGGGUGCCAGGCCUGCUGCUGGAGCAACACCAGAUGUUAUGAACGUCUGGCAGAGCAAAGCUGAUGACUAGUCGAUAGUUUAGUGUGCCAUGCUUUACGGCUUAGAAUCGGGACUUCAACGACGUUUUGAACGUCAUGGAGCAUAUGAGAUGUUCCAGGAGUUGAAGUUAAUAUUUCAAGCAAAUGCCCAGAUUGAGAGAUAUGAAGUCUCCAAUAAGUUCUAUAGCUGCAAGAUGGAGGAGAACAGUUCUGUCAGUGAGCAUAUACUCAAAAUGUCUGGGUAUAAUAAUCACUUGAUUCAAUUGGGAGUUAAUCUUCCAGAUGAUUGCGUCAUUGAUAGAAUUCUCCAAUCACUGCCACCUAGCGGAACCUGGAUGCUCAUAUUGGCUCCCACGUAUUCUACGAAGAUCUUUAUCGGUCAGACCGCAUAACAACAUACGUUGUUCCCUUUGUCAUCAGUAUGUUACUUGCCCGAGAUUCGAUCGUCGGUAUCUCAAUACCUAGUUCAAUCUCGUUACCGUCAAGUCUCUUUACUCAUUACGUAAUACAUCAUCUCGCAACUAACUCAUUAGUUGCAAUGCUUGCAAGGCUUAUGUGAUGUGCAUUACCGAUAGGGCCCAGAGAUACCUCUCCGACAAUCGGAGUGACAAAUCCUAAUCUCGAAAUACGCCAACCCAACAUGUACCUUUGGAGACACCUGUAGAACUCCUUUAUAAUCACCCAGUUACGUUGUGACGUUUGGUAGCACACAAAGUGUUCCUCUGAAAAACGGGAGUUGCAUAAUCUCAUAGUCAUAGGAACAUGUAUAAGUCAUGAAGAAAGCAAUGGAAUGGGUCAUGUCAAUCACAUCAUUCUCCUAAUAAUGUGAUCCCGUUAAUCAAAUGACAACACAUGUCUAUGGUUAGGAAACAUAACGAUCUUUGAUUAAUGAGCUAGUCAAGUAGAGGCAUACUAGUGACGUUUAGUUUGUCUAUGUAUUCACACAAGUAUUAUGUUUCCGGAUAAUACAAUUCUAGCAUGAAUAAUAAACAUUUAUCAUGAUAUAAGGAAAUAAAAUAAUAACAUUAUUAUUGCCUAUUGGGCAUAUUUCCUUCAGCUGGUUCAUGUUCGUCUCCUACAUCGUCGUCCAUACCGUCGAUGUCUUCGGAGUCGAAGUCGAGCAUGUCGGUUAAGUCAUCGAUAGUGGCUACAAAGUGGGUGGUGGGUGGGCAUCGAAUUUCUUCAUCGUCCGCGUCCCCAUCCUGUUGGCCAUGAUCCGGCCAGGGCUCUCCUGACAAAGAGAGAGACCUUAGUGAAUUCAGAUGUCGCCGAAGGGCGAGUGCUGAAAGAUAUCCGCGACCGUGAAUUCCAUGAUCGGCGCCCAUUCGAAUUCGAUUGGCAGGGGCGCGGAUGGUUCGGGGUCCGGAAGAGAGUCCGGCACCUUGGAGUCAUGGGAUGCACAGAGAUUUAUGCUGGUGUUCAGCUCGAUCGCCGUUGAGACUGCAACCCCUGAGGCGGUGUCUAGCCACCCGUCCUCGAUUGGUGCAGUUGGCUCCGAGCUAAGGGUCGGAGCUGAUGCGGGCGCGGCCUCUGGAGUACUGUCCGGUGGCAAAGCUAGGUCAUACCCAUCGCGGUCGUGCGGCGCGCCCGGCUGUGGCUCGAAUUCGUCGAAGAUCAAGUCCCCACGGAUAUUGGUCGUGUAAUUCAAACUUCCAAAUCUGACUUGAUGGCCAGGAGCGUAGCUUUCGAUCUGCUCCAGAUGGCCAAGCGAAUUAGCCCGAAGUGCAAAGCCGCCGAAUACGAAGAUCUGUCCGGGGAGAAAAGUCUCACCCUGGACCGCAUCGCUAUCGAUGAUAGUAGGAGCCAUCAAGCCCAACGGUGACGACAUAGAGGAACUCUCAAUGAAAGCACCAAUGUCGGUGUCAAAACCGACGGAUCUCGGGUAGGGGGUCCCGAACUGUGCGUCUAGGCCGGAUGGUAACAGGAGACAAGGGACACGAAGUUUUACCCAGGUUCGGGCCCUCUUGAUGGAGGUAAACCCCUACGUCCUGCUUGAUUAAUAUUGAUGAUAUGGGUGCUACAAGAGUAGAUCUACCACGAGAUCAGAGAGGCUAAACCCUAGAAGCUAGCCUACGGUAUGAUUGUACGUUGUGAUUGUUGUCCUACGGACUAAAACCCUUCGGUUUAUAUAGACACUGGAGAUGGUUAGGGUUACACAAGGUCGGUUACAAAUGAGGAGAUAUCCAUAUAUGUAUUGCCUAGCUUGCCUUCCACGCCAAGUAGAGUCUCAUCCGGACACGAGACGAAGUCUUCAAUCUUGUAUCUUCAUAGUCUAACAGUCCGGCCAAUGGAGAUAGUCCAGCUAUCCGGAGACCCCCUAAUCCAGGACUCCCACACUCCCUCAUAGUAAUUUUCAGUAGCAUCAUGAAUGCAUUCAACAAUAUAACCAGCACCUAAAGCAUUCUUUUCAUGACCUACAAGCAUAGAAAUUUUAUUACUCUCCACAUAAGCAAAAUUCUUCUCAUUCGGAAUAGUGGGAGCAAACUCAACAAAAUAAUUAUCAUGUGAUUGAAAAUUAAGAUCAAGAUGACAAGUUUCAUGGUUAUCAUUAUUCUUUAAAGCAUACGUGUCAUCACAAUAAUCAUCAUAGAUGGGAGGCAUGCUUUCAUCAUAGUAAAUUUUCUCAUCAAAGCUUGGGGGACAAAAAAUAUCAUCUUCAUCAAACAUAGCUUCCCCAAGCUUGUGGCUUUGCAUAUCAUUAGCAUCAUGGAUAUUCAAGGAAUUCAUACUAACAACAUCGCAAUCAUGCCCAUCAUUCAAAUAUUUAGUGCCAAACAUUUUAAUGCAUUCUUCUUCUAACACUUGAGCACAAUUAUCGGAAUCCUUAUUUUCAUGAUAGAUAUUAAAAAGAUGAAGCAUAUGAGGUACCCUUAAUUCCAUUUUUUGGUAGUUUUCUUUAUAGACUAAACUAGUGAUAAAACAAGAAACUAAAAGACUCGAUUGCAAGAUCUAAAGAUAUACCUUCAAGCGCUAACCUCCCCGGCAACGGCCCCAGAAAAGAGCUUGAUGUCUACUACACAACCUUCUUCUUGUAGACGUUGUUGGGCCUCCAAGUGCAGAGGUUUGUAGGACAGUAGCAAAUUUCCCUCAAGUGAAUGACCUAAGGUUUAUCAAUCCGUAGGAGGUGUAGGAUGAAGAUGGUCUCUCUCAAGCAACCCUGCAACCAAAUAACAAAGAGUCUCUUGUGUCCCCAACACACCCAAUACAAUGGUAAAUUGUAUAGGUGCACUAGUUCGGCGAAGAGAUGGUGAUACAAGUGGUAUAUGGAUGGUAGAUAAAGGUUUUUGUAAUCUGAAAAUAUAAAAACAGCAAGGUAACUAAUGAUAAAAGUGAGCACAAAUGGUAUUGCAAUGCGUUGAAACAAGGCCUAGGGUUCAUACUUUCACUAGUGCAAGUUUCCUCAAUAAUAAUAACAUAAUUGGAUCACAUAACUAUCCCUCAACAUGCAACGAAGAGUCACUCCAAAGUCACUAAUAGCGGAGAACGAACGAAGAGAUUAUGGUAGGGUACGAAACCACCUCAAAGUUAUUCUUUCCAAUCAAUCCGUUAGGUUAUUCCUAUAAGUGUCACAAACAGCCCUAGAGUUCGUACUAGAAUAACACCUUAAGACACAAAUCAACAAAAACCCUAAUGUCACCUAGAUACUCCAAUGUCACCUCAAGUAUCCGUGGGUAUGAUUAUACGAUAUGCAUCACACAAUCUCAAAUUCAUCUAUUCAACCAACACAUAGAACCUCAAAGAGUGCCCCAAAGUUUCUACCGGAGAAUCACAACGAAAAUGUGUUCCAACCCCUAUGCAUAGGUUCAUGGGCGGAACCCGCAAGUUGAUCACCAAAACAUACAUCAAGUGAAUCACGUGAUAUCCCAUUGUCACCAUAGAUACGCACGGCAAGACAUACAUCAAGUGUUCUCAAAUCUUUAAAGACUCAAUCCGAUAAGAUAACUUCAAAGGGAAAACUCAAUCCAUUACAAAAGAGUAGAGGAGGGAUAAAACAUCAUAAGAUUCAACUAUAAUAGCAAAGCUCGCGAUAUAUCAAGAUCAUAUCACCUCAAGAACACGAGAGAGAGAGAGAGAUCAAACACAUAGCUGCUGGUACAUACCCUCAGCCCCGAGGGAGAACUACUCCCUCCUCGUCAUGGAGAGCACCGGGAUGAUGAAGAUGACCACCGGAGAGGGAUUGCCCCACUCUGCUGUGAAUUGGAUCCAGGGAGUACGUAAGCCUGUAAUUCUAGUUAGUUAAUUCAGCUUAGUAUUGGUGGAAAAUAUCUCCAAAACUUAUUUGUAACCUGUACAUACAUUUUAUAUUCAGCACAAACUCAACAGUCUGUAUUUGUCAGCUUCAAUUCUCCAUUCAUUAUACUAUUGCCUCUAUUUCAACCCUUGUCUUGGAAACACCGCAAAGUCCUCUGAUUUGAAUUGUCGAACUGUGGGGGUAACAGGGGGUUGCUACACAAACAAGAUAGCCCGCCGUCCAUCUAGGGACGGUUCUCACCGAGUAAACAAACACAACAGAGGAUAUCGGUUGUCCCUGCAUGCUUCCCUAAACAGGGAGAGCAAAGGUGGCAGGUUUCUAAACACAGUUCAUAUACUUCCAAAUUUGCCAAUACAAGACGAAUGCAUUUGCCGUGUGUGAACCAAGAGGAUUAUGAGUUAAUUAACAAAGAUUCAUUCAGCUUCUUCACUGAAGAGCUAGUUUCACAACUUCUUGCAUCGUGAUACCUCCCAUUCCUAGAGAAAUAACCAAUAAGAUAUCAAACAGGAUAAUUUGCAUCUUGCUUGAUACAUUCCACUUUAUUACAUGGAGAAGAAUAGGAACACCCCCUAAUGCUCAGUUGAUUCCUCUUCUCGGAUGAUGGAAACCAAGGAAUAUAUAUGAUGGACUAGGUGGAGAAAUCAAGUAGAGUGAUAGGUUUAGUGUAAAUCGACCUCAUUUGAUUUGAAGCACAGAGAAAUCGAGUCGAGUUCUUUUACAGUACCAUGAGUUUAAUAUGAGCCAUCCAUUUGUUCACAUCCAACGGGCGUGCUUAAAUGGCACUCCAUUGUAAGCACCGAGGAGUACUGCAGCCAAAUACCAAGGAGUACCUUAUUUCUGAGGGUAUAUUUGUCAUGUACAAGAGCUAGACUCAGAUCAAAAGUUCGAUGACUAGUAUGAUGCUACUCCGGCGGUCAGCUGUAGCGAGUUCUUCGAUCAUGCUCCAAUUUAUGCACCUGGCUGACUAGGCGGUCAACGCGACGAACGGCGGGCGUGCAGCUGCAGCGCUACGAGACGCGGGCGGCGUGCAUGCAGCGGCUUGGCGUGGAGCGGCGGGUCGGAUCGGAUAGCAGGCGACGAUUGCAAUGGAAUACGACAACAAGGACGUACACAAGCAGGCACACAGGCUGAUGGAUCCUUACGGGAAGCUAGCUUCUACGUACUAGUCAACACCUAGCAGCCACUUCUUUGAUCGAUCCGAUUGGCCGAAACAACACACGCGGGGCGGUCGAUGCUGGCGGGGCAGGGGAUGCUAGCGGGGCGGGCGGGGCUAGCAGGCGAGAAGAGCAGCACGGCAAGCGACUGGGCCAGAGGAGCGGCUCGGCGGGCGGCUAGGGGAUGGGAUCGGACGGGGCGGCCGGGGCGGUAGGGCGCGCGGCGGCGGCGGCGGCAGCGAGGAGACGCGGCGGCGGCGGCGGAAGCGAGAGACAAAACCUAGAAAACUGAUACCAUAUGGAUAGACAAUUUGCAAUACAAUGUAUUUAUUAUCGGGGUGCUGGUGCACGCAUAUAUAUUACAAGGUAAGACCUCUACCUCAACUAUACAAAACUAGAAGGUGGGCCACAAAUUCAAUACACGUGCAAUACACAAUACAUACUCAACAUUUAUGAUCAGCAAAUUACAGGGGCGUCCCAUUUGAUUUCAGUAAAGCUGGCAGAUUCGUUUAUAACAAAGGAGAAAGUUUUGAUUUCAGCAACGCCGGCAGAUUCGUUUAUAACAAAGGCGAGGGAUCUCAGAAACUGAGAUGGCGGCGGCUGAUUUGGGCGCUGAGGCGGCGCCGUAGACACAAAUUGAUUGGAUUAGGGUAAUCAAACCACCGCGUGAACUGUAAAAUAUCUCUAAUGCCCUCCAAUAUUAACGGCCGGAUUUAGUUGGUACUCCACAUAAGCCUUGGGGAGUACCAGGGUACCGUAAAAAGCGUCUUCUCUGUGACCAGUUUAAGCAAGGAAAAUCAACUCAUGUCUGACGUACUUUAUUGUCACUUUUUGCAGAAUUUGUAGCAUCUUCCUAUUGACUAUGUACAAUACUGGAAAGAUGAGACUAGUUUGAAGUAUGACCGUUCUGUUCUUAUUGCCCCACUCUGUUGUGCAUUGGAUCCAGAGAAUCCGUAAGCCUGUAAUUCUAGUUAGUUAAUUCAGCUUAGUAUUGGUGGAAAACAUCUCAAAACUUAUUUGUAACCUGUACUUACAUCUUAUAUUCAGCACAAACUGAACAGUUUAUAUUUGGGAAUUUGUCAGCUUUAAUUCUCCAUUCAUUAUCCUAUACCUCUGUUUCAACCCUUGUCUUGGAAACGCCCGUGAAGUCCUCUGAUAUGAAGUCUCGAACUGAAACCAAUUGGAUUUUGACUGCCGAAAGAAUCGUCCAUGACUUUCAUUCUACAUCUUGGCAAUAUGCAUGGCUCAAAUUCCUAAUACAAAGAAUAUGUUUUCUGUAAGCACAUGUCGAGACAGUCUAUUUUGCUACAAUUCUAGCUAGGUCAGAAGAAGAUGGCUUAUCAUCGCCUUUGAGCCAAGCCAACCAAAAAAUGAUAAAUUCAUAGUACUCCCUCCUGAUGGAAUCAAUGAGUGCACACCACGAAGCUUGAUUAUACAAGGCAAACCACAGGGUUGAUGACACGGACGAAGGGAAAGACUCAAGAACAUAUGGAUAACUAGAUCCAAACCACACAGUCAACAUGGUUUCAUACAAACCCCAAAAGAAAGAAGAACAAGGUGAGAGGGUUCCUCCCCAAGUUUUAAGACAAGCAUGUCUUGAGUUACGCAUGAAGAAUCUUCUCAACAAGAGGAGGUCUCCGAGUCUUCACCUUGUAAGUGGCAUUGCUCUCCAUGAAGAGCCAUCUCCAAAAUGGAGGAAUCCCACAAGGAGAGGGUUGAUGAGCUAAGCUCCAUCAAUAGUUCUAACGUUAUUACUUUUAAAGUUCAGGAUGAGGUGGUGGAAGAGUAUGUGUAGGUCCACCCACAAAGGGGUAAGUGGGAAGGGAAAGAUAUAUGGGUUGGGCCCAACUUCGUUGCAGGCACGGUCUGGUGCCUCCCUAGAGGUUCUUGGGGGGGGUGGGGGGGUGGGGUUGGGAAGGUGUGUAGCCUGGAGAAAUGGUUUGGCUCUGAGGCUCUGAGGUGGGUCGGUGACUCUGGGGCAUCUCGAGGCAGCUUUCAGGUUUUCUAGAGAGCUGACCGCAGAGCGGCAGUGGCAAGUUUCUAAACACGACACUAUUUAUAUGCUUUUAAAUGUGCCAACAACAUAACAGGAUGAAUGCAUUUGAAGUGUGUGAACCAAUAGGGUUAUGAGUUAAUUAACAUCCACUCUAUGAACUUCUUCACUGAAGAGCUAGUUUCACAACUUCUUGCAUCCUGAUACCUCCCAUGCCUAGGGAAAUAAUCAAUAAGGUGUUGAAUAGGACAAUUUGCUUGAUACAUUCCACUUUAUUACAUGAUAAAGAAUAAGAACCUACACCCCCUAAACCUCAGUUGAUUCAUCUUCUCUCCGACGAUGGAAAACGAGGCAUAUAUAUGAUCGACUGGGUAGAGAAAUCAGGUAGAGUGGUAGGGUUAGUUCGACCUCAAUUUGUUUUGUAGAAGCACAAAAUGAUGGGCCGCCAUAAAGAAGAGGGUUAGUACUCUACCAUAGAAGGAGUAAAUAGGGAAGCGUCAAGACUUAAUAAAUACUCAUCUCUUAUCAUUCUUCUCUACUCCCUCCGUUCCUAAAUGUAAGUCUUUCUAGAGAUUUCCAUAUAAACUACAUACGGAUGUAUAUAGACGCAUUUUAGAGUAUAGAUUCUCUCAUUUUGCUUUGUAUAUAGUCUAUAUUGAAAUCUUUAAAAAGACUUAUAUUUAAGAACGGAGGGAGUAUUUGCCAAAUCUUUGCGCCUAUAUCCUACUCCCUCCGUUCCAAAAUAGAUGACUCAAUUUUAUACUAAGUUAGUACAAAGUUGAGUCAUCUAUUUUGGAACGGAGGGAGUAGAAGUGAAGGUAAUCAUCCACAUCACUAUGUGGCCAGCCUGUCUCUGUGACCAGUUUCAGCAAGGAAAAUAAACUCAUUUCUGACGUACUUUAUUGCCACUUUGCAGAUUUUGUACAUUUUCCUAUUGACCAAGUACUGGACUGGAAAGAUGAGACUAAUAUGAAGUACAUCAGUUCUGUUCUUAUCGCCCGUUCUGCUGUGAAUUAGAUCCAGGGAAUACGUAAGCCUGGAAUACUAGUUAGUUAAUUCAGCUUAGUAUUGGUGAAAAACAUCUCCAAAACCUAUUUGUAACCUGUACGCACAUUUUAUAUUCAGCACAAGCUCAACAAUAUAUUACGGAAUUUGUCAGCUUCAAUUCCGCAUUCAUUAUAAUAUAACCUCUGUUUUAACCCUUGUCUUGGAAACAUCCAGAAAAUAUUCAAAAUUUGCUUGGUGUGACACCACCGAAUAUUCGAAAUAACUACAAAAUGAAAUCAAGAAAAUAUCAAACAUGUUGUUAAUUUUUCUCUCGAAUACGCAUAGCAUGCGUAUCUUGCAUUAAAGAGGGAGAAAAGGGGUACAAGAGCCCUCCGCCGAGGGUGUUACAACACACCCACUCCACCGUAUCAAGGGUACACACUACACCUCACCUCCGACCCACCUAUGUAUCCACCUAAAGAAGGAUUCCAAGUCCAACCGUAUGAGGCCGGCCGUCUUCCAAGCCCUACCCUCCGAAAGGAUCCUACCAAAGAGUCUAUUAAGCGAAGGGGAGUCGCCGUCAAACAUGAUCCCAUUCCGAUGUUUCCAGAGCUCCCAAAGGGAAAGGAUGAUGAUGGUCCGCGAGUCCCUCGCCGGCAUGCCGUCCCCUCCUAUGUUUACCAGCCAUGAUGGUAGCAUGUCGUCCUACGUUGGCGUCCACUCCGGCUUGCCCAGAGCCAUGCAAAUCUGCAGCCAAAAGGACCGGGAGAAGGCGCACUGAAGCAUGAUAUGGUUCAUCGUUUCAUCCUCCUGGUCGCAAAGCGGGCAAACCUCUUCAUGCGGCAGCCCCCUCCUGGCCAAACGAUCCGAGGUCCAACGGCGGUUCCGCACCACGAGCCAAGUGAAAAAACGGCACUGAAGGGGGGCCCGAUUUUCCCACGUUGUUGCCGCUGUCAGGACCACCUCACUGCCUGAGAACUUCGCCGUGUAAGCCGAGCUAGCAGAGUAGACCCCGCUCCUCUCCCAUGCCCACACGAUCCGGUCGUGCACUCCCUCCUGGAGUUGAUAUCCUUGAACCCGCUCCCACAGCACCAUAAACUGGAGGAGCGCCGGCCCCUCCAAAUUCGGACCCACGUACCGCGCCCACGCGCCAUUAGCUAAUGCCUCGUUGACGUGGAGUUGCCGGCGAACGCGUUUGGGAAUCCUGGAGUAGAUGGCCGGUGCAACUUCCCUGAUCCUGAAUCCUUCCAGCCACUUGUCCUCCCAGAACAAAGCCUGUCUACCGUCUCCGACCGUCGUGUGCAUCGCCGCGUUGCAUAGCUACCUAGCUGCUUUUGGCACCGAUAUGGUGAACUCAUUCCAUGGUCUCGAGAUACGCAUAUAUAACCGAUAAAGACUAGAGAUACUAGUACAUUAGUGUGUACUAGAGUUUUAGUUCAGCAGCAUCAUGUCCCAACAGUUGCAAUGCACAAGCGUGUGUGGAUAUACGCCUUUUCUUCCCAGUGAUAUGUUGUAGUUGGACGGAUGAGGUCUCUUCAGCAAUCACUUCAGCACUUGAAUUUGCACACCCCUUUUGAAACGUAUUGUUGGUCACAAGCACGCUCAUGCAUCCAAUCCAAUGACUAAUUUGUACAGCAUCCGUCCAAAAACAAAGGUAUAAAAUCACAAGGAAUCUUUUGAUUAACUGCAGAGGUUAAAAGACCAGAGAAUGUUCACAUAAUUAACUCAUCAUAGCUACUAAUGCAUCCAGCAUCCAUGCUUAGCACAUUUUUUAUUGUUCUUACUGAAAGUGAGAGGUAUAACAGACAACCUACUUCUGGAAGGGUUGUAAAAUAUGAAGGUCAUUUCCAAGCAUAUACCCACAAAAAGGACAUGUUACUUAAUUACUUCCAGUCCUACUCAUCUUUGUAGUCACAGCAGGCCUGAAGUUAUGGCUGUCCUUGCAUUUCCUUCAUCUCAGCCAGCUUGCCUUUGCAACUUGCAAGCGUCAUAUGCUACUACACUGGAAAGGGCAUGGGCUGGUGAAGUACUAGUAACUACUCCCUUAAAGUUAGUACAAAGUUGAGUCAUUUAUUUUGGAACGGAUAAAGUACUCCUCCCGUCCCAAAAUUUUUGUCUUAAAUUUAUCUAGAUACGGAUGUAUCUAAUAUUAAAAAUGUGACUUGAUACAUCCAUAUUUAGACAAAUCUAAGACAAGAAUUUUUGGACGGAGGAAGUAAUAUGAAAAGGUGUGAUAUCUUGCAAGACUCUCCCAAAGUGAGCUUACAAGGGGGUUGAUGAGCAUGGAAAAAAAAAUAAGCUACCAGCUGAGAGCAUGUGCUGUAAUGUGGCAUUACGCUACAGAAUGAACCUCUUCACAAAAUGAAAAUUGUAGUGCCCAACACAAAUUUUCCAAAUUAUGAGUUUAAACAAAACUGCAGUAAUUUUCUUCCCGUGCCCGCGACCCACUCCCGACCCCGAAACCCUCACCGCCGCCACCUUCCCCUGCCCGUCUUCGGCGGGAUCCGGCCGCCCUCACCGGCGUGCGGCCCGGAUCCCCCCUUCCCCCGCCCUUCCUUCCCCGCCCUCCUUCCGCCCUCGCGCCGCCUCCCCGGGAGGCGGCCGGGGCGGCCCCCGCGCUUAGGCUCUCGGCUCCGCCCCCUCUUCCUCUCCCCUGCCGUCACCGGGGGGCGCCCCUGGCUCUGGCCCGGGGGGUGCCGGCGGUGGCAGGAUCUCCUCUCCCCGCGCGCGCGUCCUCCUAGCCCGGGGCAGGGGGGCGGCGGCGGUGUCUCUCGGCUUGGCGGCGGUCCGGUGACCCGGCGGGGUGGCCGGCGGUGGAUGUGGUGGCGGCGCUGCUCCUUGGUGGUGGGGCGGCAUGGUGGUGCUGGGUGGCCGAUGUUGCGCCCCCGGCCCAGAUCUGGGCCCGGCGGGGCCCAUCUGGGUCCUAGCGGGUUGGCCCCCCGGCGUGGCCUCGUUGUCUGUGGCGCGGUGAGGAGGAGGAGCGGCUUGGAUAUGGGGAGUCGGUGCCGAUGGCGUGCCGGCAACAGUGGGAAGGCGGGAGCUUUACGGGCCCACGAGGGCUCGGCCGGGCCUGUGGGCCCACGGGCCGGGUGUGCUCCUACUAUUGCAUCUGGACGGCUACCGUCGCUGACGGUGGAGGUGGGGCCCUCCCGCAUGCUGACGGUGCUGAUGCCCUAGUCCCGGCUCUGAUCCUUCGCCGCGUUGUCCUCACUUCGUGGUGCCGUGUUGAGACGGCAUGGGGGCCUCUUGACCGCGUUGGCGCAGGGUGGUGGUUGGUUUGGUGGCUGGAUCCGUAGCGCCCGAGGUGCGGGUUGGGAUCGGGGGAAACCCCUGUCGGCGUGGCCGACACCGGCGCUGUGGCGCCUGUGGGUGCCACCUGACCUUCCGGGAGGGCGUCAGGGCUACCCUUCCUCUCGCCUCAUCGUGUACCGGGGGAAACCCUUGCAGCAGCGUCGUCAUCGUCGCGAUCCUUCUGAGGUGUUGAUAGGUGCCGGCGCUUCGGAGUCUUGGAGCCUAGUGGAAGAUCUCGGUGGGCGUAGCGAUCGCGAGGCUUCUUCGUUUUUGUUGAUCUGCCGUUGUCGGCAUUUGUUUCUUUUUCUCUUUCUUUGUCGUUUCUUUUGGGCGUGACUGUGCUGCUUCCGCCCCGGUACCUAUCCUUGUAUGGUUCGGCUGGUUGCUUUGUAUACAAAGCGGGGAACCCUUUUUCGGUUAUAAAACUGCAGUCCUCACUUUGAGUUACCUUUACUUCCUCGAGAGAACUAUAUCAAAGUUUAAGCAUAUGCAUCAUAGGCAGUCAAAUGGAUAUAUUUUCGUGGUACACCAUGUGUAUGUCCUCAAGAUACUGAGAUGUAUACUAUCUGUAGUAGGGAACGCUGGGGAGGAUCUCGAUGACUGCUUGUGCACGAAAACGUAGCUACCGUACUCCGGAAAGCGCAGGAGUUCGCUGAUGUCAUCCCCACUUCACAGUCAUCACCGUCCUCUGGUGCUGGCUCUGGUUCGUCCCCGGCAUCGCUCACAGGUGGCGUCGUGCGCAUGAAGACGCAGACCCUCUAACCCGCUGGCCGUAUAUGGCUACUACAUUGUGAUCCUCCAUCUCCCGCUUAUAGCUUUCAUCAUGGUAAGACAAGGAGGAGGCGGGAGUAUUGGAGAAUGGAGUAGUGCUUGGUGCCGCGGUCGCUCGUUCAGCUCGCAGUCGUCCAAUGUGACUCAUUGCAAAUCCAUCGAGAUGUGUACAGUGUGAGUAAACCACGAUCAGCAAGCUGCCGUCCUUGUUGCUACCUCUCUCCCGAGUCCCGAUACCUAUCACUCCCAUCCAAUGGACAGCCAAAGAAACACAAAAGAGAAAAAGAACGAACCUACCAUCAUCGUUAAUUCUUCCAAUGCUAGGAAAUUGACAUUGCAAAAAAGACGUUGGGGCAUGAAGGGAGGCUGUGUAAACAUGUAAGUGGUAGCUGCCUGUACUUAAAUCCUUUUUGUAAUGAAGGUGACAGAUCUGAUGACAUGGAGAGCAUGGGUCACGUUCACGUACAAUAUUAGGUCGGGAGAGUUAUUCCAAUUGUUGGUUCAAAAUAUGAGUGGUUACCUUUAAUUGGCCUGAAUCCUUUUCUAUAAUUAAUGAGCAUUUUCUAAAACAUAUGAACACCUCUUUCAAUUACAUUAUUUUUUUGAAAAUAUGUGAACACUUUUUUAUUCACAUGAACAUUUUGUAAAUUACAUGUUCUUCGGAUUUUGAUAUCUUGCAAUUAAGUGACUAAUAAUUUGUCUUAGCGGCAUUCAGGUCAUUCCAACGUUUCUUGUCAGGCGAGGAACUAUCAUGUGCAACUUGUCCUUGUUUGCAAGACGUUUGCAUUUUUGUGGCUUUGCAAGAUGCGGAUUGUUGCAUUCCCAUACUAUGCCAACAAACUGAAACCAGAAAUUGUUGACAACCAGGGCAAAUAUGCCCAUAUUAUUGUUGCAAGGAUUUUUCCUUUUCUUUUUUGUUGUUUCAGCAAACAAGCAGAGAUAACUCAGAUGAUACUCAAACACAAGUUCAUUUUACCCUGGUAAUUACUCUUUUUUGACAAAGAAAACAUAGGACACGUCACUGGCGCCGCAAGCUAACCCGUAUUAUAUUAGCGGCCGCCAGCGAAGAUCUGGAUGACAACCUGUGCACGGAAAUGUAGCUAGAGUGUAGGUGCGGUGCCACGCUCUCGGUCUCGCCCACAACUCCACUCCGUGUCUGUGUCCAAUGCCCUCACCUCUAGCGUUGUUGUCAUGGUGUCCGGCUCGACCGUCGCCGCCGUCCUAUGGAGGUCCUCGUUGCAUGCCCCCGCGUUGGUAGUUAGGGCUCACAUGCGCAAGUGACAGGGACGGGGGACCCUCCAGCCCAAUGGUCGGCUGGUCGUAGUCCGUCUGUUCCUCACCGUCCUUCAUCUCUACCCUAUCGAUGUACUCAUUGCACGAUGAGGAGGAGGCGGGAGUCAUGGAGAAUGUAGUACUGCUCGGCCUUGUGGUAGCUGUCGGUCGUUUCCACUCGUCCACGAUCAUUCAUAGCGAAUCAAGACUUGUACACCCUGAGUGAACCACAAUCAGACGCAUGCCAUUAUUGUCUACCUCUUUGACUCUCUCCCGAUACCUAUCACUCCUACCCAAUGGCUAGGCUGCUGAGAUAGCGAGCGAAAAGUGCUAGUUCUUCCAACGCUGGGAAAGUGACAUCUCAAAGAUAUGCUCGAAGGGAAGCGAGGGUGUGUAAAUAUGUAGGCAGUAGUAAAACUCGAAAAUUUAUGUAAUAAAGGUGAGAGAUUGCAUGACAUGGAUAGCAUAGAUUACGUACGAUGUUAGGUGCCGAGAGUUAUUUUUUGCAGGUUUAAAAUAUGAAUAGUUCAAAAUUACAACUUCACUUCUCUUAAGAACUACUAGCUUCCUUUUUUACCGAAGCGUACAUGCAUGCAUGUUUUAAGGAGAAGAGGCUUUGAUUUUGCUCUUUGUAUGCCUCUUGUAACAUGCAUGUACUACAAAGUUGUGUGUAAGAGCCAAGUUAUGAGUAAAUUGAAAAUAAUAGUAAACAAAUUUUAAAAAUUCUGAUUUUGUGUGGACGUUCAUGUUAGUCUAACAAGCAUGCAUGGUAAUUUUCAUGUGAAAUGGGAUACCAAUGCUUUGUUAGGGAAAAAGCAAAAUUAAGUGUAACAUUAGACGUCUGAUUUGUUUUUUUCCCACAGGUCAUAACACUUAAGCUUUUCUACCAAAAAUUUGCAGGUAGUAUUUGGGGUGUGACUAUGAACACAUCUAAUUUUUUCAUUUUUUUAACAUUUGCAAACAACAUUUUUGACAGGUAGGAGCAAAUGCUCUAAAGAGCUGAAUUGGAUUUCUGAUGUUAUACUAGUGAAAAAACAGGCUAGAACGAAGGGAGUAUAAAAAUGUAGUUCUUGGAACUUUCAGUACUCUGAUCAAGCAAUCAUAAUAAUCCAUUUAUAAGAAAUCCACCUCUUUCAUUCAUCCCUAUGGGUCGUUGUCAUAGUCAUUCACUACUAUUGGGAUGUCAUGGCCACCUAAGGGUGUCUUCGUAAUGGGCUGCCACCGACGAGAUGCGGCGACCACCUACAGCCUGCGACGAGGUUGUAAUUGUGUGAUGCACACUGUGAUCUUGAAAUUUCAAAAUCGUUAGGUCACGAGGGAUCUUGAUUUUUCAUAUUGUACUUAUUAGCUAAUUCUAUUUAUUUCCUCAUGAAAUGAUAUCAGGCACAUUUUGUGAAGCAGGUUCUUUCCGUGAACGAAGACAGAGGAAUAGAAACGGUUCAGCUGUGUGAACCAUGGGAAGGCUAGCAAAAUGUAUUGUUGGAGGCACGUUUGUAGAGCUUUGCUACAAUGAGGACACCACACUGAGAAGAUGAAAGCCUUCAUUAUUCGUAUCUAGAAAAGAUAUGAGGUUGUAAUUUACCAAUUAAUGAAAAUUAAACAAAGGCACUUAUCCCAUAAAUGAAGGAAAUCAUCGACAUUGCUUAGGUGGCAAGCCUUCCUCCGUGACCAGUUUCAGCAAGGGAAAAUCAUCUCAUUUCUGACAUACUUUAUUGUCAACUUUUUGCAGAAUUUCUAGCAUUUUCCUAUUGACCAAGUACCGGACUGGAAAGAUGAGACUAGUGUGAAGUACAUCCGUUAUGUUCUUAUUGCCCUACUCUGUUGUGAAUCGGGUCCAGGGAGUCCGUAAGCCAGUAAUUCUAGUUAGUUGAUUCAGCUUAGUAUUGGUGGAAAAUAUCUCCAAAACUUAUUUGUAACCUGUACGCGCAUUUUAUAUUCAUCACAAACUCAACAGUCUAUAUUUGGGAAUUUGUCAGCUUCAAUUCUCCAUUCAUUAUACUAUAGCCUCUGUUUCAACCCUUGUCCUGGAAACACCGCGAAGUCUUCUGAUUUGAAUUCUUGAACUGAAAACAAUUGGAUUUUGACAUGUGCUGACUACAAUCGUACAUGACCUCCAUUCUACGUCUUGUCAAUGUGCAUGUCUCAAACUGCCAAUACAAAGAAUACAUUUAUGUAAGAACAUGAUGAGACGGUCUAUUUCGGUACAACUCUAGAUAGGCCAGAAAUCGUUGGAUCAUCAUCACCUCCUAGCCAAGCUAACAACAGAAUGACAAAUCCAUAGUACUCGCCCCCGAUCGAAUCAGCAAACGUACACCAUGAAACUUGGCAAACCGCAAGGGUUGUUCAAUGACAUGUACAAAGGGGAAAACUCAAGAACCCAUGAAUAACUAGAUCCAAACCACACGGUCAACGUGGUUUCUUAAAUACUCCAAAAGAAAAGAAGAACAAGGUGAGAGGGUUCUUCCCCAAGUUUUAAGACAAGCAAGUCUUCAGUUCCACAUGGAUAAUCUUCUCCACAUGAGGAGGUCUCGAGUCUUCACUUUGUACGUGGCCUUGCUCUCCAUGAAUAGCCAUCUCCACAACCACAAUGGAGGAAUCCCACAAGGAGACGGUAGAUGAAUUAAGCCCUACGCAAGAUAGCUACCCUGGAGAGGAGGUGGGGGAAGAAUAUGUAUAGGUCCACCCAUGAAGGGGUAGGUUGCAAGGGAAAGAUACAUGGGUUGGGGCCGACACAGUUUGGUGGCUCCAGGUUGAGCCAGAGGUUUGGGGCCGAAGACUACCGGGCAUCUCUGGGCAGCCUUCUGGAUUUCUAGAGAGCUGACCCAGAGUUUUCAUCGCAAGCUUCAGAGUACAGUUGGGUCAAACUUUUGUCUUCCUCGUGCUUUGCCUCCAGGGAGACAUGUUCGUGCUUUGUGCCAUCGUCUUAACGGUUUCUUCCCUGCUUCCCUCUUGGAUGUAAUAGGCGUCUUGUGUUUUUUUUGAAAUGUCAUUGGGGCGGCGGGACGGGGGGUGAUUCCCCACUUGAAUAUAUUCCACAAAAGGGGCAGAUGAGAUGUUGUACAACAUAGAUAAAGAGAAAUAGAGGGAGGGGUUUUUUUUCCGAUAAAGGGUGAAUUUUAUUGACUCAAAGUGAAGCAUCAAGAGGAUACAAACAAAUGAGUACACACCCGGUCUCUGCAUAGCAAAGAUGCACACAGCCAACACCAACGCACGCACACAAAACAAACCGACAAAUAGCGAAGUCAUACUAGACCAAAGCUAUGCGUAGGCGAGGAAAAAAAAGAAAAAAGCCCCAAAGCGACCAGAUCACGAUCGGCAAACUAUAACAAUGACCAUAUCUGCACCGACAAUCUCAUGACACCACGCGGACGACGACAUUCUUCAACAGCAACGCCUUAAGGAAGGAAGCGACACUCAAGUGUCAUCGUCACCGGAUCCAGCCAUCCAAGACUAGAAUCUAGGUUUUCACCCUGAAGAAUCAGUCCGAGCAUUCCGAACAAUGCCUUCAACAAGGUAACGAUGUAAAAAUAUCGCCAUUGUCAGGUAUACCCAACACGGGCGAGACCAAGGCUUUCACCCCGGAGCUCUAGACUGGGUGCUCAAGUAGCACCACCAUCGAGGUCAUUCAUGUGUUGUCGCCACCACUUUUCCACGAUCCUAGUAGCUACAGGCGAUCUGCCCGCCGCUACCGCACAACAAUCCCUCUGCAUCAAGACAUCGUCCACAGUUUGCAUUUCGCCGCCGAAGUCAGCCAUCACAUCUGCAGAGAUGAAACUCUCAUAAACUUUUGAUGGAGGCCAUAAUCCACGGCGAGGCCGCCGCUGUCCCAGAUCCGAUCUCCCAUGACAUAGUCCUAGGUGGACACCAACAGCCAGCACCAUGGGUUGUAGCUAGCCGGCAACCUGGGCGGCCGCCGAUCAUGUGCAUGCAUGUCCACGCAUGUGUAUGCAUAUGCCUCCAUGCACCAGCCCCGUGUGCUUCCCCUGAUCAUACUCCAAGCCAUAGAGAUCAUCCAGAUCGCAGCCUGAAUCACCAGUUAGCUGCCAGAUCUGAAAAGAUCGGGAAACUAGCAACAUGGGACGACGACGGCCAGAUCGGGAGACACCAUGCCAUGGACAGAUCAGGAAGCGAGCGGCAUGGGACAACGAC